RNAcentral lists this long non-coding RNA (75725 nucleotides) under Solanum tuberosum (potato). RNAcentral's name for it is "long non-coding RNA (STUB_LNC000284)". The record is from RNAcentral. Lineage: Eukaryota; Viridiplantae; Streptophyta; Magnoliopsida; Solanales; Solanaceae.
CCUAUCUGGCCCACUGCCUAGCAAUGCAAGCAUGCUUCAAAAGCUAACUUUUGUGGAUUUGUCUUACAACUUGCUAAAUGGUACCAUACCAUCUUGGAACCUCCCUUUGCUAUCUUUGUUGUGGCUCAAUCAUAAUCAAUUUAGUGGACUAGCCUAUGAGAUCAAAAUAAACCCAGCAUUAGAAUUUUUGCAUUUAAAUAAUAAUCAACUCAGUGGUUCUUUUCCUCAAUCACUUGUGAAUCUCACAAACCUUUUUGCCCUUGACCUUUCAUCAAAUAACAUCACCAUUGAUGAGGGAAUGAAUAUCAUCUUUCCUAGCCUAUCAUCUUUAUUCUUAUCAUCUUGUGGACUGAAGAAUUUUCCACACAUCUUGAGAAAUGUAAAGACACUUCAGGUCUUGGAUAAUUCUAACAAUAAUAUUUGUGGUCAAAUCCCUAACUGGUUUAGCGGCAUGAGGUGGGACUUGUUGCAGUUCCUAAACCUUUCUCAUAAUUCAUUGACAGGCCACCUACCACAAUUUCAUUACUAUAACGUACAGUAUCUUGAUCUGAAAUUUAACUCCCUUCAGGGUCCACUACCUUCAUCCAUUUGUAACAUGAGCAAACUUAUCUUAUUAGAUUUAUCACAUAACUACUUCAGUGACUCAAUUCCAAGUUGCUUGGGAAGCAUGGCUAAUUUAAGGGUGUUGGACUUAAGAAGGAACAAUCUCACAGGGAGUAUUCCCAUUAUGUGCACACAACACUUCAUUGAGUGCCAUUGUUGUAAAUGGUAAUCAAUUUGAAGGACCUGUACCUGUGUCGUUGCUCAAGUGUAAUGGUCUAGAAGUCCUUGAUGUGGGGAACAAUGCUAUAAAUGACACGUUUCCAGCUUGGCUCGGAACCCUUCAAGAGCUGCAAGUCCUUAUAUUAAAGUCAAACAAGUUCCAUGGACCUAUAAGUACUUGUCAGACUAAGUUUUGCUUUCCCAAGUUGCGAAUUUUUGAUCCUUCAUGUAAUGAUUUCAGUGGCUCACUUCCUGCAAAAGUUUUUGGAAACUUCAAGGCAAUGAUCAAAUUAUAUGGCGAAGACACAAGAGAGAUCAAGUACAUGGAACCAUCUGAGGAGCCAUCGUACGUAUCGUAUGAGGAUUCAGUGUGUUUGGUGGUAAUCAAAGGGCAGAAUAUUGAGCUACAAAGAAUCAGCACAAUUACGACAACCAUAGAUCUCUCAAGCAACCAUUUUGAAGGUGUGAUUCCGAAAACACUAAAGGAUCUCAGCUCACUUUGGCUACUCAAUUUAUCCCGUAACAAUCUCAGAGGCGAUAUUCCAAUGAAACUAGGACAAUUGAGUAUGCUUGAAGCUUUAGAUAUCUCUUGGAAUCGGCUCACUGGAAAGAUUCCACAGGAAUUGACAAGAAUGAACUUUCUGGCCUUCUUAAACCUCUCUCAAAAUCAUCUCGUCGGACCAAUUCCUCAAGGUCCACAAUUCAACACAUUUGAAAAUGACUCAUAUGGUGGCAACCUUGAUUUAUGUGGUCUUCCUUUAACAAAGAAAUGUGGAAUGAGUGAUUCAUCGCAUGUUCCUCAACAGUUGGAGUCCGAAGAAGAAGGCGAGUCAUAUUUUUUUAGUGGAUUUACGUGGGAAUCAGUAGUCAUAGGCUACAGUUUUGGACUAGUUGUUGGAACUGUCAUGUGGAGUCUCAUGUUUAAAUAUCGUAAGCCAAAAUGGUUUGUGGAAUUUUUCUAUGGACUCAUGCCUCACAAAAGAAGAAGGCCAAAGAAGAGAGCUCAGAGAUGACAGACUUAAUGGAAGAUUGAGAGGGCCAACUUGUUUUUGAUUGAUUUUGUGGACUAAUUAGUGAACUUUUCUGGUUCUGUUUUUGUCUUUUCAAUUUUCUGUUUGUUAUUUGUAUAUGUUUGAUAGAAACAUAAUUAUAUAUGAGCCAUUUAAUUAGUAUCAAUGGUUAUUCAAGUUAUGUUUCUGUUUCAAGUUGACAUAAGUGAUCCACACAGCCACUUAUUAAUUAGCUAUGUUACUCGGACUUUUCAAAAAUGCCAACGGGUACUUGUUGGAUUCUUCAAAGUAUUGCAUUUCUCAAGGAACCAACACAGGUGUGACAUCAUUAUAUUUUAGGAGAGUUGGAGCAACAUAGCUCAUUAGUACAACAAAAAGGAAAAAGCAAAGCAGUAAGCAUAUAGAGUUUGGUUCAUGAUUGAAAUCACUUGAUAUUAGAAAGUUCAUAUAUUCAGCAUAACUGCAUGUCCAUUUUACAUUACAGUUCUUCUUAUACAAACUAGAAAAGAAAAUCUUGUGUUUACAGAAACUGAAAAUUGAUUUUCUAUAAUGUAAUACAUUUGCAUUGACCACACUACCCUUAUGUCACUGUGUUUUACAGGUUACCAAGUCUAAGAAAAAAAGUAAGAUUUUUUAAAUUUGUGAUUUUGAAUAUGACGUGCGAUUUUUGUGGCUAAUUAAUUACAUAUAUGCAUCAAAUCAUCUUUUAUUUGAAUAGCUUCGCCUUCUUAUAUGAACAAAUGACGCUUGCUCAAGUGGUUGAGCAUCUUCAUCAUUAGCCGGCAUACUAGAGAAUAAGUGGAAACACUAUGAAUCCUCCUAAAGUUGGGUCGGAACUCGAGGCUCAGUUAACCUUUUUUCUUUGUUGCUUAAUCUAAUACGAGAUUUUAUUAAUAAUAGAGUGCAAACUAGCUGUAAAGUAUCAACUUUGUCCCCAUUACGUUUUUUUCUACUACAAAAAAACUAGAAAAGUGAGAAGUGUUGUGGAAAAUUAUAGAAUGUACCUAACAUGUUUGAAAACAACUAAUCAGGAAUUUCUGAUAUUAUUUCUCUGCAAUCUUUAACAUUAAAUAUUGACCAAGUCAAGUAUCUCUGGUGGUGGAAUUAGAAUGUUGAGUUAGCUUUACUUUUAUUUCUUUCUUGUUUAAGAUCUUAUAUUUAUAAAAUAAGGCAACAUGUCCUAUCAUUAUUAUACUAAAUUUAUUUUUCUUCUUGUUUAAGAGCUUAUAUUUCUGUAAAGACUCUGUAUGUAAUAUUUUUCUUCUUUCUUUUGUUUUUCUCUUGAUUAGACUUUUUAAAUUUGAUUUUCUAUGAAUUUCUUAAUGUCGUAAGUUUUUGUUUGUGCUCAAAUUAGCCAUUUGUGAUUUAAUUGAAAGUGUUCUAACUACUAAUCAAAGUUUAAAAUUUAUAAUUAUUAGUGUGAAAGGAAUUAAUUUUAACAUUAAAAUAUGACCCUCAUUUGAUCACACUUUUAAGGAUUUAUUUAUAAUUAUUACAUUUUAUUACUCAAUACAUAUAUAUUUUCAUAUAAUUUUUAAUUGUUUUGAGAUGUAUAAAAAUUUAGAUGAAACACAUGUGCAACUCAGAAACUAGUAUAUAUACAUGGAUUUUGUAAGAAGAGAACAUCCAUCCUGUUAUUUGCUGAAAACAAACAAACAAAAAAUGGUCAUGAGUCUCUUUUUCUUUUAUUCAUUUCUCUGUUUUGUGUUGCUAAUAAGUGAAUGCUUUUCUUUUUCCUUUGAGCAUCAUCUUUGCUCUCCCACUGAAGCUUAUGCUUUGCUUCAGUUUAAGCAAUCCUUUAAAAUAUCUGAUUACUCUAGUUUUGAGUGUGAUACUUCUUUUCCAAAAACAAAUUCUUGGAAUGAGAGUAGGGAUUGCUGCAGUUGGGAUGGAGUCACUUGUAACUUAUUAAACGGUCAUGUUAUUGGGUUAGACCUUAGUUGUAGUCUGCUUGGUGGAAGUAUUCAUCCCAAUAGCAGCCUCUUCCAACUUCAUCAUCUCCACACACUAAACCUUGCUUACAAUGACUUCGAUUAUCCUUCUUCAAUCCCACAUAACAUUGGUCAAUUGACGAAUUUGAGGCAUCUCAACCUUUCUCAUUCUCACUUUGAUGGAAAAAUCCCAACAGAAAUCUCAUACCUUUCCAAUUUGGUUUCACUUGAUCUUUCUUCUUUUUAUGGUUAUGUUUUACAACUUGAUGAGAGAACAUUUGAAACAAUGCUUCACAACUUCACAAAUCUGGAGCUACUUUCUCUCUCUUUUGUCAACAUCUCAUCUCCGAUGCCUGUGAAUGUUUCUUCCUCCUUAAGGUACCUCGAUCUUGGUUAUACUAAUAUGCGAGGUGUUCUCACAGAGAGCUUUUUCCUUCUGUCAAACAGCUUGGAAACGCUCAAAUUAAGUGAUAAUGAUCUUCUCAAAGGAGUUUUUCCAAAGACCCACCCGAGCAACACUCUGUUAAUGGAGUUGGAUAUUUCAGGCACAGGCAUCUCCGGUGAGCUGCCUCAUUCAAUUGGCACCUUCAGUUCCUUGAAUAUCUUGAACCUCUAUGGAUGUCAAUUCUCUGGUUCCAUUCCUGAUUCCAUAGGAAACCUAACACAAAUUACGGAGUUGCUUUUAUCUUAUAAUCAUUUCACUGGCCAUAUUCCUUCCACAAUCUCUAAAUUGAAGCACCUCAGAAUUUUAUAUCUUUCUGACAAUUCCUUCUCAGGUGAAAUUCCUGAUGUUUUCUCUAACCUCCAAAAGCUAUACUAUUUAGAUCUUUCUGAAAACAGCUUCACUGGUCCAUUUCCUGCUUCAAUUUUAGGUUUGACACAUCUUGAAUACUUAGACAUGUCGAGUAAUUCCCUAUCUGGCCCACUACCUAGCAACCAAAGCAUGCUUCAAAAGCUAACUUCUGUGGAUUUGUCAUACAACUCACUGAAUGGUACCAUACCAUCUUGGGUGUUUCGCCUACCUUUGCUAUCUUCAGUGUCGCUCCAACAUAACCGAUUCAGAGGACUAGCCGAGGAAGUGAUCAAAACAAACCCAACAUUAAAACAACUGCUUUUAAGCAAUAAUCAACUCAGUGGUUCUUUUCCUCAAUCACUUGUGAAUCUCACAAACCUUGAAACCCUUGGAAUUUCAUCAAAUAACAUCACCAUUGAUGAGGGAAUGAAUAUCACCUUUCUUAGCCUAUCAUCUUUAUUCUUAUCAUCUUGUCAACUGAAGUAUUUUCCACACUUCUUGAGAAAUGUAAACACACUUGAGGGCUUGGAUAUUUCUAACAAUAAGAUUUGUGGUCAAAUCCCUAACUGGUUUAGCAGCAUGAGGUGGGACUCAUUGCUGUUCCUAAACCUUUCUCAUAAUUCAUUAACAGGCCACCUACCACAAUUUCAUUACUAUAACCUACCACAAUUUCUGUUUCAAGUUGACAGAAGUGAUCUACACAGCCGCUCAUUAGCUAUGUUACUCAAACUCUUCAAAAAUGUCAAUGGGUACGUGUUGGAUUCUUCAAAAGUAAUGCAAUUUUUAAGGAACCAACACAGGUGUCAUUAUAUUUUAGGAGAGUCGAAACAACAUAACUCAUAUUUCUUAACAUUUUCUGCUUCUACAUUUAUUGCUGUUAAAGAUCAUUGCUUGAAAUGGCUUAACUCAUACACACAGAGGAUAGCAACUAUUGAGCUGUUGACUGAAGUGUUCCAUUUAUUAAUACAACAAAACAGGAAAAGGCUACAUCCACCUCUGGGGCUCAUGUUGUUCUGUUUCUUCAAAUGCAAAACACUCUCUAUCAUGAUAUUCUUUAUUUUCAAGGUUCGAAUCUGAAACCCUUGGUUCAAUUUUACCUGGAACCAUUCAUUUAGCAUAACUAGAUGUCUUAUCGCAUUAUAGUUAUUAUACAAAGUGAAAAAAUUCAAGGGAUAAUAAGACCAUCUCAAAAAUCGGGUGUGUAACUGAAAAAUCUGACUCGACUUUAAGGGUAUACUUAGGGUGGUUCAAAAUCGAACCAUAACCGAUAGGCCAAUCGCAAAAUUGGCUUAUUUGUAUUGGAUUAUCGGAUUAACGGUUGAUCAACGAUUAAAAUUUUAUAGUUACGGUGCGGUGGCAGAUUACUCAAUUUCCUUAGGGAAAAUUACGCGGAAAAGCAAACAUAUACUAGUUAAUUAGCUAAUAUAGAUAUCACGACCCAAGUCUACACCCUGGAUGUGGCCGGCACUCAAGAACCAUUGUUGAUCCCCAAGCGAACCCUCAUCCUGACAGACUAACUUAAGCAUGCAAAAGCUUAAAAUUGAAAUUCAAUAAACUCAACUUUGUAAAACAUUAACUCAAAUGAACAACUUAGAAUAAAAAUAAUAUAUUCAACUCGCCAUAAAAUAGGCAACUUAAGUCUUUAAAACAUUUAAUAAAAUAAAUAAAUAAUACAGACUUUUCAACUAUACUGACUAUCUGUGAAGCCUCUAACUAAUAAAGAUAGAAGUCGAGACAAGACCCACGACAUCAUGACUAAACUAAAAAGUAAAUGAAAUCCUCCGGAAACAAGGAGGCUCACCAUAGCUAACUCGAACUCCCGGAUGUAUCAACGAAUCUCCUGUUAAUGAUCCUGAAUACAUAUGUCUGCAUCAUGAAAAGAUGCAAGCCAAAUGGCUCAGUACGUGGAAUGUACGAGCAUGUAAGGGGAAUUCUAAAACAUAAACAUAAGCUUGAAACUUGAUAAAAAGGAGACAUACUUUCCUCUUUUCAAACUUACUCAACUAAAGGAAUACUCAAGGACACUCAAAACUACUCAAACUUACUCAACUCAGAAGUACUCAAGGAUAAGAAACUCAACUAAGUAAUAAUUUUCUCAACUCAGUGAAACUCAACAAUAAGGUACUCGACACAAUGAANNNNNNNNNNNNNNNNNNNNNNNNNNNNNNNNNNNNNNNNNNNNNNNNNNNNNNNNNNNNNNNNNNNNNNNNNNNNNNNNNNNNNNNNNNNNNNNNNNNNNNNNNNNNNNNNNNNNNNNNNNNNNNNNNNNNNNNNNNNNNNNNNNNNNNNNNNNNNNNNNNNNNNNNNNNNNNNNNNNNNNNNNNNNNNNNNNNNNNNNNNNNNNNNNNNNNNNNNNNNNNNNNNNNNNNNNNNNNNNNNNNNNNNNNNNNNNNNNNNNNNNNNNNNNNNNNNNNNNNNNNNNNNNNNNNNNNNNNNNNNNNNNNNNNNNNNNNNNNNNNNNNNNNNNNNNNNNNNNNNNNNNNNNNNNNNNNNNNNNNNNNNNNNNNNNNNNNNNNNNNNNNNNNNNNNNNNNNNNNNNNNNNNNNNNNNNNNNNNNNNNNNNNNNNNNNNNNNNNNNNNNNNNNNNNNNNNNNNNNNNNNNNNNNNNNNNNNNNNNNNNNNNNNNNNNNNNNNNNNNNNNNNNNNNNNNNNNNNNNNNNNNNNNNNNNNNNNNNNNNNNNNNNNNNNNNNNNNNNNNNNNNNNNNNNNNNNNNNNNNNNNNNNNNNNNNNNNNNNNNNNNNNNNNNNNNNNNNNNNNNNNNNNNNNNNNNNNNNNNNNNNNNNNNNNNNNNNNNNNNNNNNNNNNNNNNNNNNNNNNNNAUGUGGAAUUAUGAGCAUGAACUACUCAACUCAAGACUGUUCGACUUAUAGGAUUCAUGCCAAAUUAUGGGCAUGAACACUUCAACUCAAGGACUUCAUGAGUAAUAUGAAAUAGUUCCAUGAUUAGAAAAUAUAAUCUCAAAGGGGAUUGGGAACUCAAUACUCAAGACUUAGAACUUAAAGAUAUUACCCCUCUCAAUGAUGCUCAAUUUAUGAAGUCUAUGCGGAAUUUAUGGGCAUGAACGACUCGACUAGAAGGUCUACAAACUACAUGGAAUUCAUGUAUAUGACACUUCUCAUUCUCUUACUUACCACCUCAAAACUUAGUUCAAAUCGAUAGUUGAUCUCAAAGGAUUCACAAUUGAACUCAAAGGCUUUCUUGAACUCUAUUCUUAACUUUCUCUUGAAUGUGAAUUAUGAAUUCAAGAGUUAUGGUUCAUGAUAUGAAGGAUAUCAUGAUGACAAAGUAUAUUCAUGAAUACAUUCUCCUCAUCCUCAUACUCACUUGCUCGAGUCUUGAAACAAGUUACUAGAAGUUGUAGAAAACUCCUCAAAAGAGCUCAAAGGGGCUUUCUGAGAAUGUUCGAAAGAAUUCUCAAAACUUAACUCUUAACUCUACCUUGAAUUUGAAUUAUGAAUUCAAGGUUAUGAUAAUGUUAGGAAUGAUUUUAGGUGUUUAGAAGUAUCUUAGAGUAGUUAGAAUCGAAAAGGAGUGAAUGUACCCUUCGAAAGAACUCAAACGAAGCAACCGAUUGCAAACUGGACGGGGCAGGAGACCCUGGGGCUAUGGGUGGCGCGGGGAGCCAGCCCCUAAACUUCAGAGCAUACUUUGGGGCGCUCUGGUUGGCGCUACGCGCCAGGACCCAACCCAGAAGACCCGACGAAAUUCUUUGCUAGUUUUCUCACCCUAUUUCGCUUAGAAUCGAGCGGUUUCUUCCCCAAUCACUUGGAUUCGAUUAUUUAACAUAAGUACACUCUAAUAUAUUCAAUACAGCCCUAAAAACACUCACAUUAAUCUCAAGAAAUCAUCAAAACUUCAACAAAACAAGAUUUAAAAUGAACUUCAAGAACACCUAACAAGAAAUCAUCAAGAACUCUAAUCCUUCAACUUUAAGAACAAAAUUGCGCUGAAAACAACAUGAUUGGCGUGUUGGUGAACAAAUCCAACACUAUGGAAGCUUACAUACCUCUUAGGGAUUAAACCCAUGGCGAAAAUCCGCAACAAAAUGCAAGACUCUCGACGAACGCUUUGAUCAUCUCCUCUUUUCUCCUCUUUUCUCUUCUUGAACUCUCAACUAAAACUCUAGGCUAAUUUUAGGAUUAUAAAACUGAACCUAAUAGGAUUAGACCCUUAAAACCUUACUAAAAAUGAAUUAAAUCCGAUUUGGUAAGGAAAAGACUAAAAUACCCCUCUAAAAUCCGGUUUUGACUUUCCUUAUCUAGACAACCCAACUUCGAAUGCACAUAUCUCCCUCAUACCAACUCAAAAACUGAGAAAACUCGGUGGCGUUGGAAAGAUAAUUCAAAGAUCUUUCCUACGGUAUCUGGUAGCACACCUAAAUCAUUCUGAGAUAGGAGUUAUGGUCGUUUGAAGUCAACCCAAAACUCAUACUUAGCUUAACUUGCAAAAUUUCAAAUAUUUGUUAUUUCCAAUUUAGUUCUUUUUGAUACUCAGGUGCUACAUCUAGUGACCUGACCUUAACACUUAAGAAAUUUUAAAUUCCUUAGUAAAAUCCUACUCACAACGAAGGACGGUUCAAGUCUUAGCUCAAAAUUUUUCUGGGGUGUUACAAUAGCUAUAGUUUGAAUUAAUUACGGCUCGCAACUUAAUUUUAGCUUUAAUUACGCCACUUGUCCUCUUUUAUACAUAUACAAAUACAAAUUAUACACAUAUAUACUCUUAUCGUAUCAUUGACUAAUGAGUAAUUUCUUAACAAGAAACCUUAAUGAUACCAAUAAAGUAUAUAUAUACUGAUUUAGUAUCAAUUUAGCGAAAUUAUCAGCCUUAAUGAUAUCAAUACAGUAUAUGAUAUUGAUUUAGUAUCAGUUAAGCGAAAUUAUCAACCUUAAUGAUACAAAUACAGUAUAUGAUACCGAUUUAGUAUCAGUUAAGCGAAAUUAGUAAGAGGGUAUAUAGUGUAAUUAUUUAGUGGGGUAUGAAUGUAAUGCGGUAUAUGUUUGUAAUUAUUUUGCUUUUAUGGGGUAUUUGCUUAUUUUCCCCUUUUCAUAAAUCUAACUUGAGGUGGGCUGAGUUCUAUUAAAUGUCGGUUGGGCUUGUUUUGCAAUUUCUAAAAGCCCAUUAAGUUUUGGCAUCUAUAUAUAUUUGGGUCAUUCACCAUGAAGUUAAGGAUUAAAAAAAUUUCUUUCCAUAUGACAUUCAUAUUUAAACGAAUUUAAAUUAUAUAUACCAACAAUAUAAAGUCUACAAUCAGUAUAAUUUAACGUGUUCUAGUUAGCAUGUUGUUUACCUUGAUUUGCAGGUUAUUAAUUUCACUUAUAAUGAAGAGUCAUGAUCUAUAGUUACUUUUAGACGAGUUGACAGUAAGAAAAUUUCUUUAAAGCUCUAGCAUACAAUUUUUCGAGAAACAAAAAAUAUAACAAAUGGAGAUAAGCCUAAAAUACCUUCGAACUAUUGGAAACGGAGGUACACACCACUCUCUUCAGACCCCACUUGUGAAAUUACACUAGGUAUGUUACGUUGUUACUCUGUUUCACUUACAAAACACUUUUGCAAAAUAUCAUAUUUUUCUUUUUUUUCCCAUCAGUAGUCUUUGUGGAAAUUGGGUUAGACUUUGGUGGAAUAUUGAUGGAGUUCUAACAAGUCUUGUGGUAAUUUAUUGAGAAGUUUGUAAAACAGACUAAUCAAUUACUUGGAAUGAUCUUCACAAAAUUAUUCAAAACAUACUAACUAAUUAAGCAGGAAAACACAUAUCAAACAAAAUUUUAAAUAAAAUUCCACACGGUAUUGGAAAUUUGUCACAAAAUUCUGCAGAAAUAUUUUCUACCGUGAGUGUUACGUAACGAGACCAAUUAAUUCACAUCAUCUUGCAUAACACACGCUGCAGAGAUAUAUAGUCGAUGACCUUGAAAUGAAUAACAACAUCUAGAGAAAAUGAGGACAUAGGGAGUAUUAUUUUGUUAAGUCUUCUUCGUGCUCUGAAAAGUCUUGUGGAACACUAUAAAAUAAUGUGUAACACGUUGUUAGAAGUGACUAGUACUCAUUCAUGGACCACAAAUGACUGAAAAUUGACUUAACACUUGGGACAACUUUUUAGUAACCACAAAUUAUUACCCCAUUUUAUUUGUCUGGAUGUGUUUCUUUUCUUCGUUAAUUUAUAAUUGAUAGUCCCGUGCAUAAACAAGUCAACAACGCUGCUUUAUGAAUUACUGUUUAGUUAAUUGUUCACUUUAUUUAAUGUGGAGGUCGUUGUAAUAAUUAAGAAUUGGAAUAGUGUUUGGUUAAUUAUAGUGCAUCCUUUCUUAUGUGGCUACUUAUUUUAUUGACUUAUACAUGUCUUGACAAUUAUCAUGAACCCACAUCAUUAUUUUUACGUUUACCUUUUUUAUUCUUUCAUUAUUAAAUAUUCUAAAGUCUACCAAAUGGUAAAACCUUUUACAUUAUACAAAAUAUAUUGUUGGGUGUUAAUAAAAAGAUCAAUUUGUUUUUUGGUGUAUUCUUUAAAUUACAAGCACUACAACAAAAACAACUUUUAGCGGCAAUAAAUAUACACAUUAAUAAAGAGUGUUAAAGUUUUUACCAGCAUUGGUUAAGUAUCAUUAGAUUCAAUGUCGCUAAAAACUUUAGAGACAUACACAAAGAGGGUUAAUUGCCACUAAAAAUACAUUAUAUCAUUAUAUCAAAUUCAACACAACUAUUUCAAUAUCAUUAUAUAAACUUCUUAAAGUUUUGAGUAGGAUUUUAUUAUUCUAACUUUAUAUUAUAUCUUUUCAUUGAAAAUUUUCGUUGUUUGUAUUCUUACUUAAUAAAGGUUUGUGUACCUCCUACUUCCUUGAAACUCUACGCAGUAUGUUAUAAGUAUUUUAAUUUAUGUAUGACAACUAAAAAAAUAAUUAGAGGGCCUUGCCUGUAUGUUUUCAUAGAAUUUUGAUUAUUCUUACAAAUCUAUAAAAAAAUUACAAAGGACACUUAGAAAGUAGUAUAUAUAUGUGUGGAUAAUACUGAUUGAUUUGUAAGAACACAUCCAUCCUGUUAUUUGCUGAAAACAAACAAACAAAAAAUGGUGACUCUGUUUUUCUUUUAUUCAUUUCAGUGUUUUGUGUUGCUAAUAAGUGAAUGUUUUUCUUCAUCCUUUGAUCAUCGUCUUUGCUCUCCCACUGAAGCUUCUGCUUUGCUUCAGUUCAAACAAUCCUUUCAAAAUAUGUCCAGAGAGUCCUGUAAUUAUUCGUGUCAUGGAGAUUGUUUCCCAAUAACAAAGUCUUGGAAUGAGAGUAGGGAUUGCUGCACUUGGGAUGGAGUCACUUGUGACAUGUUAAACGGUCAUGUUAUCGCCCUGGACCUUAGUUGCAGUCAGCUUGUUGGCAAUUUUCAUCCCAACAGCAGCCUCUUCCAACUUCAUCAUCUCCAGACACUAAACCUUGCUUACAAUGACUUCAAUUGGUCUUCAAUCCCACAUAACAUUGGCCGAUUGACGAAUUUGAGGCAUCUCAACCUUUCAUGGUCUCACUUUAGUGGAAAAAUCCCAACAGAAAUCUCAUACCUUUACAAUUUGGUUUCACUUGAUCUUUCUGUGAUUGGAUUCCAACUUGAUGAGACAACAUUUGUAACAAUGCUUCACAACUUCACAAAUCUGGAGGUACUUUCUCUUUAUGGUGUCAACAUCUCAUCUCCGCUACCUGUGAACAUUUCUUCCUCCUUAAGGUACGUGGAUCUUGAAUAUACUAAUCUGCUAGGUGUUCUCACAGAGAGCUUUUUCCUUCUGCCAAACAGCUUGGAAACGCUCAAAUUGAGUGGGAAUGAUCUUCUCAAAGGAGUUUUUCCAAAGAUCCACCCGAGCAACACUCUGUUAAUGGAGUUGGAUAUUUCAUCCACAGGCAUCUCUGGUGAGCUGCCUCAUUCAAUUGGCACCUUCAGUUCCUUGAAUAUCUUGAACCUCGAACAAUGUCAAUUCUCUGGUUCCAUUCCUGAUUCCAUAGGCAACCUAACACAAAUUACGGAGUUGAUUUACUUGGGAAUCAGUAGUCAUAGGCUACACUUUUGGACUAGUUGUUGGAACUGUCAUGUGGAGUCUCAUGUUUAAAUAUCGUAAGCCAAAAUGGUUUGUGGAAUUUUUUGAUGGACUCAUGCCUCACAAAAGAAGAAGGCCAAAGAGAAGAGCUCAAAGACGACGGACUUAAUGGAAGAUUGAGAGGGCAACCUUGUCUUUGUUUGAUUUUGUGGACUAAUUACUGAACUUUUCUGGUUCUGUUUUUGUCUUUUUAAUUUUCUGUUUGUUGUUUGUAUAUGUUUGAAAGAAACAUAAUUAUAUGUGAGUCAUUUAAUUAGUAUCAAUGGUUAUUCAAGUUAUGUUAGUUUGUUUCUGUUUCAAGUUGAUAGAAGUGAUCUACACAGCCGCUCAUUAGCUAUGUUACUCAAACUCUUCAAAAUGUCAACGGGUACGUGUUGAAUUCUUCAAAAGUAGUACAAUUUUAAGGAACCAACAUUGGUGUCAUUAUAUUUUAGGAGAGUCGGAGCAACAUAACUCAUCAGCAUAACAAAACAGGAAAAAGCAAAGCAGUAAGCAAAUUGAUCAGUUUGGUUUAUGAUUGAAAUCACUUGAUAUUAGAAAGUUUAUAUUUUUGAAAAUUAAUGUAGAAGAGUAAUCAAAACUACAGAAUUGGCUAAUAAUUUUGUGGUUCUGCAUCUUUCUAAUCAUAAAUCAGCCAUAAAAUAUUCUCUAGCUCAGUUUCAACUUCCGCGAUUUUAAUUUUAGUAAGUUUUUACAUAUAUUUAUACUUCGUGGACGAAAGUUAUCUCUGGUUGUUCAACAACUAAUUCAUAUUGUUUGAUUAUCAAUGAAGGAAAGGUUUUUUUAAAGGGCAAAACGCUCUAUACGAGGAUUUUUUAUUAUUUUUCAAGUUUGAAUUCAAGACCUGUGAUUCAGUUUCAUCCGGAACUUUACUGUCUACAAAACUACAUGUCAAAGUUAUUUUUGAUGAACUAAAAUAGACUUAUUCCCAAAAUUUAAUUUAACGCAAAAAGAAAUAUAAUCAAAUUAUUUAAAAAUUAAGAAAGACAAAUUAAAACCUUUACAUAAUUUGACACAUGGCAAAAUAUAAUUGGCUAAAAUUUUGGUCCCACAAAUAGUCAACUCACCUGUCAAAAAAUGACAUUCCUAUUUUCUUUUCCUAAUUUUAGUUUGGACACUUUGAAAACAAUUAAAGUAUCUUUGUCUGGUUAUGGCCGUUCAAAGCUUUGAUUAUAACAAGAAAGAUGAUUGAAAAUAUCGGUUUUCUUCCUUUUAAUUGGUUUGUUUUAUUAUUUUUUUGAAAUUUAAUUUAUUUAUCGUACUUUAUACUUAAAUUUGUCUCAAAAAGAAUAAUACGUUUCACAUAUAUAUAUAUAUAUAUAUUUAAGACUAUAACAUUAAAAGAUAUUUUGAUAUGUUUUUUAUAUAACUUUAAUUUAAUAUUAUAUCAUUGAAAAUUCUUCUUUACUUAUAUAUUUUUUUUAUUUUGAAUUUUUAUAUUUCAAUAUUCCACGUGACACGUUAAAAAGUCACUUUAGUAGUAUAAGAUUCAAAAGAUUUUUUUUUCACUUUGUUAAACUUAUAUCAAGUCGAUAGAAACUAGACAAACAAAUUAAAACGAAGUCACACUUUUCAAUACAUAUUCCAACUUUCAUUGAGUCUGAAGAUAUACUUUCUGAUUUAUUUAUUUUCAAGAAUUUACCUGUUGGAAGAACCCCACCAGAAGAAAACUCCAAAAAACAGACUAAAAAUCCCAACUUUGAGUUUUUCUUUCAACAAUUAUAAGUUUCAGUGAAAAUCUCAAGAUGUAAUUUUUUUCAAGAAUUCAUCUUUUAGGAAAACCCCAUAAGAAGAAAACUCCAAAAACAGAUUCAAAAUCUCACCUUUUUUUUAGAUCUUUUCAACAUUUUUCAGUUUAUUAGCUUACAAAAAUCACUGAACAAGGAAGAAGGGAUUCAAGAAAAAGUGGAAUAAAAAUGUCAUUUGUUUUAGGGGUUGUGUUUGGAAUAGCAUUUGGACUUGCUAUAAUAGUUGCUUUUGUGAAAUCUGAAAAUGCUAGAUCCAAACAACGUACUGAUCUGGUUAGUCAACUAAAGUCUUUGUUUUUUUUGGAUCUUUAUUUUUUUCCAUUUCUGGGUUUUUUUUUUGUAUUUAUGUUGUUUUUUUGGUUGAAUUGUAAAGGCUAGUGGAAUUGCUGCAUUUGCUAGAAUGACAGUGGAAGAUUCAAGAAAAAUCUUUACACCAGAACAAUACCCUUCUUGGGUUGUUUUCUCAAAUCAACAAAAGGUGAAGUCGUUUAACUUUUCUUUAAGAUGUAUUUGGUAGGACGCAGAGGCGGAGUCAGAAUUUUUAGUUUAUAUGGGUUCUAGACCACUGUUCUUUUUGUUUUGUUGGGUUUCUGAAAGCUAUGUUGCUCGGACUCUCAGAAAAUGUUGUUUGUACCCAUUCUGGAUUCUCUAAAGUUGCACUAGUUUGGAGUAUACGACACUAACCAUCAACCGUAACCAUUUUUGAAGAGUCCGAACAACAUUGACUGAAAAGACUAUUUUUACAUCUUAUAACAUUAAUAUAGGGUUAAACCAAAGCUACUGGAUUUUGAUGUACUUGUAGCUAAAGCAAUGUCAUUUAUCAUAAAUCUGUAAACUGACUUAUUUUCUAGAAAAUGUUUUUCGUAAUGGAUUUUUUUUUCUGGGAAAAGACAUUUAAUCGGAUAGUGUUUGGUGAAAAUAUUUGAGUAGUAAAGAUUGAUAAUAAUGUUUAUAUGUUGAGAUAAUUGUUUGCUCCUUUUUGGUGGAAAAUGUUUUCGCAAAACAUAUGUUCUAGCAGCCAAAAUCAGAAAAAAGAGAUUACAAACACACCGUUGAUGUCCUUAUCUGUUUUUGGAGCACAUAGUGACCAUAUAAGAUCAUUGAGAUUAAAUUCAUGCAUUAUGGUUCAAAUUGUGGUCUUUGGUUGCAAGACUGUCCCUUUAUGGACUUUGUUUAAUUUCUAUCUAGAAUACAUCUUGUGAUUUAGUUUGUUGAGGGCAAAAAAUGACCUUUUGAAUUUUUCAAUUUUGUUCUUACAGUUGGCAUGGCCAGAUGUUGUGAUUUAGUCAACUAAAGUUUUUGUUUUUUCUUACUUCAAUUUUUUUGGAUUUUUAGUUUUUUCCAUUUUUGGGGUUUUCUGUAUUUAUGUUGUUUUUUUGGUUGAAUUGUUAAGGCUAGUGGAAUUGCUGCAUUUGCUAGAAGGACAGUGGAAGAUUCAAGAAAAAUCUUCACACCAGAACAAAUACCCUUCUUGGGUUGUUUUCUCAAAUCAGCAAAAGAUGAAGUCUUUAACUUUUCUUUAGGAUGUAUUUGGUAGGACGUAGUGGCUGAGUCAGAAUUUUUAGUUUAUAUGGGUUCUAGACCAUUGGUUCUUUUUUGCUUUGUUGGGUUUCUGAAAAUUAUGUUGUUCGGACUCUCAAAAAAUGUUGUUUGUACCCGUGUCGGAUUCUCUAAAGUUGCACUAGUUUGGAGUAUACGCCAGUAACCCAUCACCCAUCACCAUUUUUGAAGAGUCCGAGCAACAUUGACUGAAAAGACUAUUUAUACAUCUUAACAUUAAUAUAGGGUUAAACCAAAGCUACUGGAUUUUGCCGUACUUGUAGCUAAAGCAAUGUCAUUUAUCAUAAAUCUGUAAAAUGACUUAUUUUCUGGAAAAUGUUUUUCGUGAUGGAUUUUUUUCUGGGAAAAGACAUUUAUUGUAGAUUGAAUCAGCAAAUUGGAUAGUGUUUUGGUGAAAAAUAUGUGAGUAGUAAAGAUUGAUAAUAAUGUCUAUAUGUUGAGAUAAUUGUUGUUCCUUUUUGAUGGAAAAUAAGAUUUUACCAAACACACUGUUGAUGUCCUUUACUGUUUUUGAGCACAUAGUGACCAUAUAAGAUCAUUGAGAUUAAAUUAGUGCAUUAUGGUUCAAAUUGUGGUCUUUGGUUGCAAGACUGUCCCUUUAUGGACUUUGUUUAAUUUCUAUCUAGAAUACAUCUUGUGAUUUAGUUUGUUGAGGGCAAAAAAUGACCUUUUGAAUUUUUCAAUUUUGUUCUUACAGUUGGCAUGGCUUAAUUCUCAUCUUGAAUAGAUCUGGCCAUAUGUGGAUGAGGUUAGGGGUUCAAUGUCUAUACAUAGUUUAGUUUUCCACUCUAUUGCGAUUCUGCAAUUUUUCAUUUCCCCCUUUUUUUGGUUCUAAUUUAUGAUUGUUUGAACUUCUUUGUUGCUAAUUGAGUCGGUAUGGGUAUAUAUGGUAAUUCAGGCAGCAUCAGAACUAGUAAAGUCAAGUGUGGAGCCAGUUUUGGAACAAUAUAGGCCUGUGAUUUUGGCGUCGUUAAAAUUUUCAAAGUUCACUCUUGAUACAGUUGCUCCACAAUUCACAGGUUAGUAGAUUAUGGCUGGUGUAACCUGCCUCAAAGCUCUUGUAUAUUGUACUACCUAAAAGUUUUAGGAGUCACUUAUACAUAUGAACAAACUUAUCAGUCCUCUAGGUCUUUAUGGCAUGCUUAUGUCUGGAGUAGCGUAACAUUUCCCUGCACGGACACCACCACCAUCAAAAAAAAAAAACGGCAUAACAUUUUCUUGCCAUUUAUAGCCUCUUGAGAUGUCAAAAUGUGACAAAUAAUUUGAGACAGGCAAGGGUAUAAAAGAUAUUCAAACCUCAAAGAGCAAUCCUAUCAUCUCGUGUCAGUUAAUCCUUAAUAAAAGAAACUGCUUGUGAGGAUGAAUCUCACUACAUUUAACAAAUGCUUGAUCUCAUGUAUAUGCCACUGCAGGGAUUUCUAUUAUUGAAGAUGGAAGUGAGGGUAUUACUAUGGAAUUAGAGAUGCAAUGGGAUGGUACCAUACCAUCUUGGGUGUUUAGCCUACCUUUGCUAUCUUCAGUGUCGCUCCAACAUAACCGAUUCAGAGGUCUAGCUGAUGAAGUGAUCAAAACCGCUCCAACAUAACCGAUUCGGAGGACUAGCCGAUGAAGUGAUCAAAACAAACCCAACAUUAAAACAACUGCAUUUAAGCAAUAAUCAACUCAGUGGUUCUUUUCCUCAAUCACUUGUGAAUCUCACAAACCUUAAAACCCUUGGACUUUCAUCAAAUAACAUCACCAUUGAUGAGGGAAUGAAUAUCACCUUUCUUAGCCCAUCAUCUUUAUUCUUAUCAUCUUGUCAACUGAAGGAUUUUCCACACUUCUUGAGAAAUGUAAAGACACUUGUGUACUUGGAUAUUUCUAACAAUAUGAUUCGUGGUCAAAUUUCUGACUGGUUUAGCGGCAUGAGGUGGGACAACUUGUGGUACCUAAAUAUUUCACAUAAUCUUUUGACAGGUUACCUACCACAAUUGCAUUUCCAUAAUCUAGGGUAUCUUGAUCUGAAAUUUAACUCCCUUCUGGGUCCACUACCCUCAUCCAUUUGUAACAUGAGUUCGCUUAUCUUAUUAGAUUUAUCACGCAACAACUUCAGUAACUACAGUUUCGUAUGAGGAUUCAUUGAGUUUGGUAAUCAAAGGGCAGGAUAUUGAGCUACAAAGAAUCAACACAAUUAUGACAACCAUAGAUCUCUCAAGCAAUCAUUUUGAAGGUGUGAUUCCGAAAACACUAAAGGAUCUCAGCUCACUUUGGCUACUCAAUUUAUCCCAUAACAAUCUCAUAGGUCAUAUUCCAAUGGAACUAGGGCAAUUGAAUACGCUUGAAGCUUUAGAUCUCUCUUGGAAUUGGCUCACUGGAAAUAUUCUGCAGGAACUGACAAGAAUGAACUUUCUGGCCUUCUUAAACGUCUCUCAAAAUCAUCUUGUCGGACCAAUUCCUCACGGUCUACAGUUCAACACAUUCGAAAAUUAUUCGUAUGGCGGAAACCUUGAUUUAUGUGGUCUUCCUUUAUCAAAGCAAUGUGGAACGAGUGAUUCAUCACAUGUUCCUCAACCAUUGGAGUCCGCAGAAGAAGGCGAGUCAUAUUUUUUUAGUGGAUUUUCUUGGGAAUUAGUAGUAAUAGGCUACAGUUUUGGACUUGUCGUUGGAACUGUCAUGUGGAGCCUCAUGUUUAAAUAUCGUAAGUCAAAGUGGUUUGUGGAAUUUUUUGAUGGACUCAUGCCUCACAAAAGAAGAAGGCCAAAGAAGAGAGCUCAGAGACGAAGGACUUAAUGGAAGCUUGAGAGGGCUAAAUUGUCUUUGUUUGAUUUUGUGGACUAGUGAACUGUUCUGUUUUUGUCUUUUUUUAAUUUUCUAUUUGUUGUUUGUAUAUGUUAGAAACAUAAUUAUAUGUGUGUUAUUGUAGUAUUCAAUUUAUGUUAGUUUGUUUCUGUUUCAAAUUGACAGAAGUGAUCUACACAGCAACUCUAGCUAUGUUACUUAGAUUUUUCAAAAAUGUCAACGGGUACGUGUUGGAUUCUUCAAAAGUUGUGUAUUUAUUAAGGAACCAACAUGAGCAGUGGCGGAUCCAGGAUUUUCAUUAAGGGGUUCGAAAAAAAGAGAGCAGUGCUUAAGAUUUGAGGUUUGAACCCCUCAACCACUAAACUAACCUCUAAUCUUAUAUUCAGGAGGUUCAAAAUCAAUAUAUAAACAUAAAAAUUCUUUAAAAUACCUUAAAUAUACAACAUAAUUUUUUGCCGAGGGAGUUGGUCCACCCCUGAACAUGGGUGCGACAUCAUCAUAUUUUAGGAGAGUCCGAGCAACAUAGCUCAUUAAUACAACAAAAUUGGAUAAAGCAGUGCAGUAAGCAUAUAGAGUUUGGUUCAUGAUUGAAAUUAGUUGAUAUUAGAAAGUUUAUAUUUGUGAAAAUUGAUGUAGAAGAAUGCUCAAAACUACAGAAGUGGCUAAUAAUUUUGUGGUACUUCAUCUUUCUAGUCAUAAAACAUCCUUAAAAUGUUCUCUAACUCAGUUUCAACUUCUGCAAUUUUUAUUUUGGUAGAUUUUUACAUAUAUUUAUACUUCAUGACGAGUGUUAUGUCUCACGUGAUCCAACAACUAAUUCAUACUGCUUGAUUAUGAAUGAGGAAAUUUUUUUGUUUUUGGGAAAAAUGCUCUCUGGAAUCGGCUCACUGGAAAGAUUCCAAGGGAACUGACAAGACUAAAAUUCCUGGCAGUCUAAAAACUCUGUCUGAAUGUUCUUUUUAGACCGAUUGCAUGCUCCUCGUCCAUUGGAGUCCGAAGAAGAAGAAGAAGAAGAGAGUCGUAUUUUGCUAGUUGUGGAUUAAUUGUUGUAACUGUCAUGUGGCACCUCAUGUUUAAAGAUGGUAAGCUGAACAUGUGAUCCUUCAAUACAAUUAGUCUCUCAGUUUUUUUUGCUUGAGUAUCAUUUUUUUUAUCUUCUUAAUUUGAUCACUAUACCUUUAUCUUGAGUCGAGGGUCUACAGAAACAACAUCUCCACUACUUUGGUUAUUUUCCAUCUCUUCAUAUUUGAACUGUAUCAUAUAGAUGGAAUUUCCCUCAUUAACUUAAUGUUAAAAAUCUUUUGGAAAACAGCACAAGAGACAACUAAUCGGAAAUUUCUCUACAGGUGGAAGGAUCUUCACCAAGUUAUUCAGAACAUACUAAUUAAGCAGGAAAACACAGAUCAAACAAAAUUUUGUAUAAAAUUCCACAAGGAGGAAAUGAAGGACUUAAAUCAUGUCUUUAAUUAUUGUUCAUUUUUUUCCUCACUUGACUUAGUCAAGCAAUAGUUUCUACCAUUUGAAAUUUCUAAGAAGUUCUGCAGAAAUUUUUUCUACAUAAUGGGACCAAUUUCACAUUAUCUUGCGUAACACACUGCAGAGAUAGUUAAUGACUUUGAAAUGAACACAACAUCAAGAGAAAAAUAGGACAUAGAGAGUAUUAUUUUGUUAAGUCUUCUCCGUCCUCUAAAAAGUCUUGUGGAACACUACAAAAUAUGAGUAUCAAGUUGUUAGAAGUGAGUAGUACUCAUCUUGUAAUUCAAUUGUUCAUCAGUCCCGAUUCAUCAUAAUCUUUUUUUUUCCUCUAGUCUUUGUGGAAAUUGGCUUAAAGUCUUACAAGUCAUCGUCCGCUAGUUACAAUACUGUAUCACUUUUUUCCUUAGUUGGAAUGGAAUAUUGAUGGAUUUUCCCUUAUUUACUUAAUGUGAAAAUUAUUGUGUACCUAACAAGUUUGAAAAUAGCAGAAGAGACAACUAAUCACUCACUCGGAUUGACCUUUUCUGAUUGUAUAGAUUUCAUGGAAAAAUUGCACCAAAAUUUAUUUAAUCCUCAAUUGACUUGGUCAUGCAACAGUUUCUCUUUGAAAAGUAUUGUGGAAAACAGAAGAGAUGUUGAUGGAAAGUUGGACAAGGUUGACAUAAAACAGGAGUUCAAAUAACUAUAAAAUAUGUAUGGAUUUUGAAAAAACAGAACAUUCUGUAAUAUGCUGUAAACAAAAAGUAAUUCCCGUGACCAGUUCAGUUCAAGGUUGGUCACGGGAGGGUUGAAUAAAAAUCACUUGAAAGUUGUUAAGGGGGUAUUUAAAUGUUCAUGUAGUUUAAGUCCUAAAGUAAAUUUGGCUAUCAAGUUUGAGGGUGAUUUUAGGAUUUUUCUCAAAAGUUAGCAGUCAAAUUGAAAAAAGUGUUCAAAUUGGGAAAAUAUGUAAAAAUUGUUAUUUUCCAUCUCUUCCUAUUUGAACUGUAUCAUAUAGAUGGAAUUUCCCUCAUUAACUUAAUGUGAAAAGUCUUCAGCACAAGAGACAACUAAUCGGAAAUUUCUCAUAAAAUUUCUCUGCAGGUGGAAUGAUCUUCACCAAGUUAUUCAAAACAUACUAAGCAAGCAGGAAAUGAAGGACUUAAAUCAUGUCUUUAAUUAUUGUUCAGUUUUUUCCUCACUUGACUUAGUCAAGCAAUAGUUUCUACCAUUUGAAAUUUCUAAGAAGUUCUGCAGAAAUUUUUUCUACAUAAUAGGACCAAUUUCACAUCAUCUUGUGUAACACACACUAUAGAGAUAGUUAAUGACUUCGAAAUGAACACAACAUCUAGAGAAAAUGAGGACAUAUGGAGUAUUAUUUUGUUAAGUCUUCUCCGUCCUCUAACAAGUCUUGUGGAACACUACAAAAUAUGAGUAACAAGUUGUUAGAAGUGACUAGUACUCAUUUUUGAUUCAAUUGUUCAUCAGUCCCGAUUCAUCAUAAUCUUUUCCCCCCCUCUAGUCUUUGAGGAAAUUAUCUUAAAGGCUUACAAGUCAUCGUCUGCUAGUUACAGUACCGUAUCCCUUUUUUCCUUAGGUGGAAUGGAAUAUUGAUGGAUUGUCCCUUAUUAACUUAAUGUGAAAAUUAUUGUGUACCUAACAAGUUUGAAAAUAGCAGAAGAGACAACUAAUCACUGACUCGGAAUAUUGACCUUUUAUGAUUGUAUAAAUUCCAUGGAAAAAUUGCAUAAAAAAUUAUUGCAUUCUUUGUGGAAAUUGUCUUAUUAAAGACUUUGGCUUCAAAGAACAAAAUAAAAUUCCACACGGUAUUAUUGUUUUGUUGUUACAUACUCUUAAGUUGAUGUCUUUAAUUAUUCUUCAUUUUUUUUCCUCACUUCAUGACUUAGUCAAGCAAUAGUUUCUCUCAUUGGAAAUUUUUCACAACUUAUGCAGAAAUAUUUUCUACUGUGAGUGUUACGUAACUUGACCAAUUUCACAUCAUCUUGCGUAACACACACCGUAGAGAUAGUCGAUCGAUGAUCUCGAAAUGAACAACAACAUCUAGGGAAAAUGAUGUGUACCAAGUCGUUAGAAGUGACUAGUACUCAUUCAUGGACCAUAUGUGACUGAAAAUUGACUUUACACUUGGGACAACAUUUUUUGCAACCACAAAUUAUUACCCCAUUUAUUUAAUUAUCUAUGUGUUUCUUUUCUUUCGUUAAUUUAUACCUCAAUAGUCCCAUGCAUAGACAAGUCAACAACGUUACUUUAUGAAAUAUUGUUUAGUUAAUUGUUUACUUUAUUUAAUGUGGAGGUUGUUGUAAUAAUUAAGAAAUGGAAUAGUGUUUAGUUACUUAUAGCAUCCUUUCCUACAUGGCUACUUAUUUUAUUGACUUAUUUAUAUCUUGGCAAUUAUCAUGAAUUUUGAUAAUGCAUGUUUUCAUUGAACACGGGUGCAACUUAGAAAGUAGUAUAUAUAUGUGUGGAUAAUACUGAUUGAUUUGUAAGAAGAACACAUCCAUCCUGUUAUUUGCUGAAAACAAACAAACAAAAAAUGGUCAUGAGUCUGUUUUUCUUUCAUUCAUUUCUGUAUUUUGUGUUGCUAAUAAGUAUGUUUUUCUUCUUCCUUUGAUCAUCAUCUUUGCUCUCCCACCGAAGCUUCUGCUUUGCUUCAGUUUAAGCAAUCUUUUGGAGUUGAUUACAACUACUCCAAAUGUUUUACUUCUUUCCCAAAAAGAAAGUCUUGGAAUGAGAGUAGGGAUUGCUGCAGUUGGGAUGGAGUCACUUGUGACUUAUUAAACGGUCAUGUUAUCGGGUUAGACCUUAGUUGUAGUCUGCUUAGUGGAAGUAUUCAUCCCAAUAGCACCCUCUUCCAACUUCAUCAUCUCCAGGCACUAAACCUUGCUUACAAUCACUUCAGCUAUUCUUCAAUCCCACAUAACAUUGGCCGAUUGACAAAUUUGGUUUCGCUUGAUCUUUCUUCUGAUUUUUAUGGACUACAACUUGAUGAGAGAACAUUUGAAACAAUGCUUCAAAACUUGACAAAUCUGGAAGUACUAUCUCUCUUUCUUGUCAACAUCUCAUCUCCGAUGCCUGUGAAUAUUUCUUCCUCUUUAAGGUACCUGGAUCUUCGUUAUACUAAUCUGCGAGGUGUUCUAACAGAGAGCUUUUUCCUUCUGCCAAACAGCUUGGAAACGCUCAAACUGAGUGGGAAUGAUCUUCUCAAAGGAGUUUUUCCAAAGAUCCACCGGAGCAACACUCUGUUAAUGGAGUUGGAUAUUUCAUACACAGGCAUCUCUGGUGAGCUGCCUCAUUCAAUUGGCACCUUUAGUUCAUUGAAAUACUUAAACCUCCAAGGAUGCCAAUUCUCUGGUUCCAUUCCUAAUUCCAUUGACAACCUAACCCAAAUUACGGAGUUGAUUUUAUCUUAUAAUCAUUUCACUGGACAUAUUCCUUCCACAAUCUCUAAAUUGAAGUACCUCACAAAUUUACAUCUUUCUGACAACUCCUUUUCAGGUGAAAUUCCUGAUGUUUUUUCUAAUCUCAAAGAGCUACGUUAUUUAGAUCUUUUUAAUAACAGCUUCAUCGGUCCAUUUCCUGCUUCAAUUUUAAGUUUGACACAUCUUGAAUACUUAGGAUUGUCGAGUAAUUCCCUAUCUGGCCCACUGCCUAGCAAAGCAAGCAUGCUUCAAAAGCUAUCCGAACUGCAUUUGUCUUACAACUCGCUGAAUGGUACCAUACCAUCUUGGGUGUUUAACCUCCCUUUGCUAUCUUCGUCGUGGCUCAAUCAUAAUCAAUUUAGUGGACUAGCCGAUGAGAUCAAAACAAACCCAACAUUAGAAUUCCUGUAUUUAAAUAAUAAUCAACUCAGCGGUUCUUUUCCUCAAUCACUUGUGAAUCUCACAAACCUUUCUACCCUUGACCUUUCAUCAAAUAACAUCACUAUUGAUGAGGGAAUGAAUAUCACCUUUCCUAGCCUUGAAAUUUUGCAGUUAUCAUCUUGUGAACUGAAGGAUUUUCCACACUUGUUGAGAAAUGUAAAGACACUUCAGGUCUUGGAUAUUUCUAACAAUAAGAUUUGUGGUCAAAUCCCUAACUGGUUUAGCGGCAUGAGGAUGGGACUCGUUGCAGCUAUUAAACCUUUCUCAUAAUUCAUUAACAGGCCACCUACCACAAUUUCAUUUCCAUAAUCUAGUGUCUCUUGAUCUGAAAUUUAACUCCCUUCAGGGUCCACUACCUUCAUCCAUUUGUAACAUGAGCAGACUUUUCUUAUUAGAUUUAUCACAUAACUACUUCAGUGACUCAGUUGCACAUUGCUUGGGAAGCAUGGCUAGUCUAACCGUGCUAGACUUGAGAAGGAACAAUUUCAUAGGGAAUCUUCCCCCAUUAUGUGCACAGGGCACUUCAUUGAGUACCAUUGUCGUAAAUGGUAAUCGAUUUGAAGGACCUGUACCUGUGUCGUUGCUCAAGUGUAAUGUUCUAGAAGUCCUUGAUGUGAGGAACAAUGCUAUAAAUGACACAUUUCCAGCUUGGCUCGGAACUCUUCAAGAGCUGCAGGUCCUUAUAUUAACGUCGAACAAGUUCCAUGGACCUAUAAGUACUUGUCAGACUAAGCUUUGCUUUCCCAACUUGCAAAUUUUUUAUCUUUCUCGUAAUGAUUUCAGUGGCUCACUUCCUGCAAAAGUUUUUGGAAACUUCAAGGCAAUGAUCAAAUUAGAUGACGAAGACACAAGAGAGAUCAAGUACAUGGAAUCUAAGUCAAAUUUGUCAUUUGACACAUCUUAUGAGGAUUCAGUGAGUUUGGUAAUCAAAGGGCACGAUAUUGAGCUACAAAGAAUCAGCACAAUUACGACAACCAUAGAUCUCUCAAGCAACCAUUUUGAAGGUGUCAUUCCGGAAACACUAAAGGAUCUCAGCGCACUUUGGCUACUCAAUUUAUCCCACAACAAUCUCAUAGGUCAUAUUCCAAUGGAAUUGGGGCAAUUGAAUACACUUGAAGCUUUAGAUCUCUCCUGGAAUCGGCUCACUGGAAAGAUUCCGCAGGAAUUGACAAGAAUAAACUUUCUAGCAGUCUUAAACCUCUCCCAAAAUCAUCUCGUCGGACCAAUUCCUCAAGGUCCACAAUUCAACACAUUUGGAUAUGACUCAUAUGGUGGCAACCUUGAUUUAUGUGGUCUUCCUUUAUCAAAGCAAUGUGAAACAAGUGAUUCAUCACAUGUUCCUCAACAAGAAGAUGAAGGCGAGUCAUAUUUUUUUAGUGGAUUUACGUGGGAAUCAGUAGUCAUAGGCUACAGUUGUGGUCUAGUUGUUGGAACUUUUCAUGUGGAGUCUCAUGUUUAAAUAUCGUAAGCCAAAAUGGUUUGUGGAAUUUUUUGAUGGACUCAUGCCUCACAAAAGAAGAAGGCCAAAGAAGAGAGCUCAGAGAUGACGGACUUAAUGGAAGAUUGAGAGGGUAACCUUGUCUUUGUUUGAUUUUGUGGACUAAUUAGUGAACUUUUCUGGUUCUGUUUUUGUCUUUUCAAUUUUCUAUUUGUUGUUUGUAUAUGUUUGAUAGAAACAUAAUUAUAUGUGUGUUAUUCAAGUUAUGUUAGUUUGUUUCUGUUUCAAGUUGAUAGAAGUGAUUUACACAGCCACUCAUUAGUUAUGUUACUCAGACUCUUCAAAAAUGUCAACGACUACAUAUUGAAUUCUUCAAAAGUAGAGCAUUUUUUAUGAAACCAACACAAAUGCAACACCAUUUUAUUUUUAGGAGAGUCGGAGCAACAUAGCUCAUCAGCAUAACAAAAACAGGAAAUUGCACAAGCAAAUAGAUCAGUUUGGUUUAUGAUUGAAAUCACUUGAUAUUAGAAAGUUUAUAUUUUUGAAAAUUUAAGUAGAAGAGUACUCAAAACUACAUAAUUUGCUAAUAAUUUUGUGGUUCUGCAUCUUUAGAAUCAUAAAUCACUUAAAAUGUUCUCUAACUCAAUAUCAACUUCCGCAAAUUUAAUUUUAGUAAGUUUUUACAUAUAUUUAUACUUCGUGUACGAAAAAUAAUGUCUCUGGUUGUUCAACAACUAAUUCAUAUUGUUUGAUUAUCAAUGCGGAAAAGGUUUUUUUAAAAGGGCAAAAUGUUCUAUACAAGGAUUUUAGAAGUGACUAGUACUCAUUCAUGGACUACAAGUGACUUUGAGUCUUCCUGGAAAUUGACUUAACACUUAGGACAACCACAAAUUAUUUGUUUGGAUGUGUUUCUUUUCUUUCGCUAAUUUAUACCUCAAUAGUCCCAUGCAUAGACAAGUCAACAACGCUACUUUAUGAAAUACUGUUUGGUUAAUUGUUCACUAUAUUUUAAUGUGGAGGUCGUUGUAAUAAUUAAGAAAUGGAAUAGUGUUUGGUUAAUUAUAGCAUCCUUUCUUCCGUGACUACUUAUUUUAUUGACUUAUUUAUAUGUUGACAAUUAUCAUGAACCCAUAUUAUAUUAUUACUAGGUAAAUUACCCGUGCUUCGCACGGAAUUGAACUAUUUUAUUAAGCUUACAUAUGAUCAUUCGAUAAUAUUCAUAUUUUCGAUACAUACACUACAUUGUCAAGAUCAUUUUAUCUUAAGGCAAAACGUUCCUCCAAAAUCUUAAAGUGCUAUAUUUUUUUAAUUUUCAUUUUUGUUAUACAAAUAUUAUGAGUCAUAGAUAGAUUUUAAGUAUAAGAAAGAAGUCUAAGAAAAUCUCCUUGGAAAUAGUUGGUCAGAAGUAAUGGAAUAUUUUUAAUUCCAAGAAGUUAUAAAGAACAACAUCAGACGUUAAUAAAGAGACCAAAAAAGGUCGAACAACAACACUUCCAAGUAAAGUGGAGUAUCACGUCCAUACAAGAUCAUAAUUAACUAAAUUCAAAUGGACGACCAUGGACUCCUUUCUUAUGAACCUCCAUCAAUCUCUUUUUUAUUAUUGUAUGCCAUAUCAAGUAUAUGCUAAAAAUGACCCUAAAAUUGUUAUUAUCAUAAAUGUUUUUUUGUCAUUGUCUCAAAAUAGUCAUUACUAUUUUAAAGGUUUCAUAUCACCGGCCCCAACUUAUUUGGAUUAAACCAUAGUUAUUGUUAUGGUUAUAGUAUGCAGUUACAAAAAAAUUAAUGCAAUUAUCAGCCAAGCAAUAGGUGACAUCUGAAUGUUCACAACGGGAUAUUCUAAACAAAAAAUUUGACACAUAACAUAUUAAAAUCUCACAACAUAAUUUUGUGAGCACUUGAACUCACAAAUAUCCUAAAAUAAUAAUAAAGACAAUCUUACUUUCCUAACAAUCAAGAAGAAAAAGGCUCGUUGCUUAAUAUAUUUUUCAAAAAGAUAGUCUUUCGGGUUGUAUCCAAGUUCACAGUUCACAAAUUUAGUUGAAAGAAGCCAAAAGAAAGAGUUAUUACUUCUUUAUCAAAAAAAUUUAAAACUUUAUCAAAAGAAUGAGUUAUCACUACAACAAAAAUGAUCUUUAACGAUAAUUAAUAGCUUAAUUAUCGCUAAAUAUGUAUUUUCAGAGGCAAUUGGUACUCUGUAUAAAUGUUCCUAAAGUCUAUAGCAACAUUGAAUCCAAUGACAGUUAAUUCAUGUCGGUAAAGGCUGUAGCACUCUUCGUGAACGUGCAUAUUUAUUGCCGAUAAAAAAUAUUUUUGUUGUAGUGUAUUUUGGACAUUUGUUAGUUUUAAGAAAACUUGAUCUCUUAUUAUGCCCAAAAAGAAGAGAAGAGGAAAUAUGACAAAUUAGUUAACUUGCGAUAAAUGAUGUGGACUAAUUGUCUCUAUACAAAUUUUCUAGGAAUAGUGCAAUGGCAUACAAAAUGUUUGUACCUAAGAAAAAACAAUCAAAAUAAUAUACUAACUGUGGCAAACAAGAGAGAAAUCAUUUUGGUUCUUUUAACAAACUUCAUCAUUGGUUCCGUACUAGUUAUCAGAUUUUUGUUGUUGUGUGCUAUCAAAUAUAGCACAACCCACAAGCAAUUUUCCCAAAAAGUAUAUGAAGAAAAACUGUAGAAAGGGACAAAAGAGAAGAUAAACUUUCAAUCAUCCUCAUUGAAAUUUUGAACAUAAUUAAAAAAAAAGUCACCAAAAUAGCAAAAAGAAAUUGCAAUAGAUACAUGAAUCACUAUGAUUUAUAGUAAAAAAUUAAGCUUCAUGAAAUAGGAGGAAAAAAACUUUGAGAAAUGAAAUGCACUUUAUAAGAAACUUAAUUAAUGUAUUUGAUUUCGAAAAAAAAUACAAAUAAUAGUGGUAGAAAUAAAAGAUUUGUUUACUAAAGAACCAAAUGUAAUGAAUUCAGUCAUCAACCAUUUCAGCAGUGUUAUGAGUUGUGCACUGAGAGAUCCAAGAGCAGUAAUGUCGCAUUGCAAUUGAAAUCAAUUUUCUUUGUUUAUAUGAAGAAACCUGUAGAAAGUGACAAAAGAGAGGAUCAAUUUUCAAUCAUCCCUGCUGAAACUUUAACAGAGUUAAAAAAAAGGUCACCAAAAUAGGAAAAUGAAAUUGCCAUAGUUACAUGAAUCACCAUGACUUACAAUAAAGAUUAAGAUCCAUGAAAACUUUUAGGAAUGAAAAAAAUUCCUAAAAACUUAAUUAAUGUAUUUGAAUUUGACUACCCUAUAGAGGGAAAAAAACCUACAAAUUAUAGUGGCAGGAAAUUCCUCUAUUUAUAGACAACAUAGAGUAGUGUGAACAAAUUUUUAUUGUGCCUUAUCCGAGAUGUCACAACUCUUUGGAAAAGUUACAACCCUUCAGAAAGGUCACAACCUUUCAUAAAAGUCAUAAUUUUUCAUAAAAGUUGCAACUCUUCAUAAAAGUCACAACUUUUCAUAAAAGUCACAGCUUUUAAUGAAAAGGGAAGGCUAGUUUUGGAAAUAAAUAAAAUUUAAAAGGGAAUCCUAGUUUAUGGUGGCGCCACGUAGGCGGGCCUAGGGUUCUCUUUUAUAUAAAUUUUUGAUUUUUGAUAUAUGAUUUUUACGUUUACCUUUUUUAUUCUUCUUUCUAUUUUUAUUCUUUCAUUAUUAAAUAUUCUAAAGUCUAACCUUUUGCAUUAUACAAAAUAUAUUGUUGGGUGUUAAUAAAAAUAUCAAAUUUAUUUUUUGGUGUAUUCUUUAAAUUACAAGCACUACAACAAACACUACAAUAAAAACAACUUGUUGCGGUUUCUGAACCUUUCAUAUAAUUCAUUAACAGGCCACCUACCACAAUUUUAUUUCCAUAAUCUAGGGUAUCUUGAUCUUAAAUUUAACUCCCUUCAGGGGCCACUAUCUUCAUCCAUUUGAAACAUGAGCAUACUUAGACUUGGGGAAAUUGAAUGUGCUUGAAGCAAUGAUUAAAUUAGAUGACGGAGACAAAGGUGAGAUCAAAUAUAUGGAACAAUUGAGUGAAUAUUCAAUGUAUGAAGAUUCAGUGAGUUUGGUGAUCAAAGGCCAUGAUACUGAGCUAGAAAAAAUCAACACAAUUAUGACAACCAUAGAUCUCUCAAGCAACCAUUUUGAAGGUGUCAUUCCAAAAAUACUAAAGGAUCUUGGCUCACUUCGGUUACUCAAUUUAUCACGUAACAAUCUCAAAGGUGAUAUUCCAAUGGAACUGGGGCAAUUGAAUGUGCUUGAAGCAAUGGAUCUGUCCUGGAAUCGGCUCACUGGAAAUAUUCCUACUGAAUUGACAAGACUAAAAUUUCUAGCAGUCUUAAACCUCUCUCAGAAUGUUCUUGUCGGUCCAAUUCCUCAAGGUCUACAAUUCAACACAUUUGGAAAUGACUCGUAUGGUGGCAACCUUGAUUUAUGUGGUCUUCCUUUAUCAAAGAAAUGUGGAACGAGUGGUUCAUCACAUGUUCCUCAACCAUCGGAGUCGUAUUUCUUUAGUGGAUUUACGUGGGAAUCAAGGCUACAGUUGUGGACUAGUUGUUGGAACUGUCAUGUGGAGCCUCAUGUUUAAAUAUCGUAAUCCAAAAUGGUUUGUGGAAUUUUUUGAUAGACUCAUGCCUCACAAAAGAAGAAGGCCAAAGAAGAGAGCUCAGAGACGACGGAUUUAAUGGAAGAUUGAGAGGGCCAACUUGUCUUUGUUUGAUUUUGUGGACUAGUUAGUGAACUUUUCUGGUUCUGUUUUUGUCUUUCUGUUUGUUGUUUUGUAUAUGUUUGAAAGAAACAUAAUUAUUAUAUGUGUGGUAUUUUAGUAUCAAUGGUUAUUCAAGUUAAGUCUAUUUCUGUUUCAAGUUGACAGAAGUGAUCUACACAGCCACUCAUUAGCUAUGUUACUUAGACUCUUCAAAAAUGUCAAUGGGUACGUGUUGGAUUCUUCAAAAGUAAUGCAAUUUUUAAGGAAUCAACAUGGGUGUCAUUAUAUUUUAGGAUAGUCGAAGCAACAUAACUCAUCUUUCUUAACAUUUUCUGUUUCUGUAUUUAUUUCUUUUAAAGAUCAUUGCUUUGAUCUUAAUGGCUUUCAACCCAUAUUAGGAACACUUGAAAUGGCUGAACUCAUACACACAGAGGAUAGAAACUAUUCAGCUGUUGACUGAAGUGAUCCACUUAUUAGUACAACAAAACAGGAAAAGGCUACAUCCACCUCUGGGGCUCAUGUUGUUCUGUUUCUUCAAAUGCAAAACACUCUCUAUCAGGAUUUUCUUUAUUUUCAAGGUUCGAAUCCGAAACCCUUGGUUCAAUUUUACCUGGAACCAUGCAUUUAGCAUAACUAUAUGUCCUAUUGCAUUAUAGUUAUUAUACAAAGUGGAAAAGUUCAAGGGAUAAUAACACCAUCUCAAAAGUCGGGUGUGUAACUGAAAAUCUAAAUCAACUUUAGGGGUAUACUUAGGGCUGUUCAAAACUGAACCAUAACCGAUAAGUCAAUCGCAAAAUUGACUUAUUGGUAUUGGAUUAUCGGAUUAACGGUUGGUCAACGGAUUAAAAUUUUAUAGUUAAUGGUGCGGGGCGGAUUACUCAAUGGUGCGGGCCGGAUCACUCAAUUUCCUUCUAGGGUAAACCAUUAACCUUUUAAAAAUUAUCGUAGUUAGGAUAUUUAUUAAGUAAAUACUAAUGCGCUUGCACCCUCAAAAUUUAGUUCACAUGUGUUGUCACGCCCUGAGCCUACACCCUGGACGUGGCGGGCACUCGAAGACCAUUGCUGGUCCCAAGCGAACUGUUGGCCUAGUUUACUUGACUCAGCGGAAGACUUAAACUAAACAAAGAUAAGUUCAUAUAAUAAAUUGGAAUGUUAUAAAGGAACAUUCAACUGGACAUUAAGGCAAACUCAAGUCUGAACAUGGAGUAAUGACAAUGAAAAAACUAAAAACUAACAUCUGACUGUCUAUGAAGCCUCUAAUAACAACUGAGAUGGAUGUUGGGAUAGACCCCACAACAUCCUAAUAAACUAAACUGGAAAGCAAUGAAAUGGAUCCUCCGGAAAGCAAGGAGGCUCACCAACAGACUCUGGACUGCUCACUGGAUCAACGAUGCGUCAGGAUGCCGAUCCUAGUUACCUGUGUUUGCAUCAUAAUACGAUGCAGACCAACUGACAUCAGUACAUUGAGUGUACGAGUAUGCGAGUUGGAAUGCUAAAACAACAUAGACUAGAAAGAAUCUGAGAGAAACUGAAGAACUUACAUGACUCAACUCAACAUGACUGAACUCAUUUCAUUAUAAAUCAGUUUAAAAGCAAGUGCAAUAUAAAGAAAAGUUGUUUAAAAACAUGAUAUUAACUCUGUGUGUAUGCAAGAUACAAAUAACUCUGAGAUGUAUUUAAAAAUACAAUAAACUGAUGUAUAUAAAAAUACAAUAACUUCUGUGGGAGUUUCUCUAACCGACAACCACCACUUAUGAAACUAAGUGGUGAUACAACGUUUUACCUCACGUUACCCAAGGACCAUCNNNNNNNNNNNNNNNNNNNNNNNNNNNNNNNNNNNNNNNNNNNNNNNNNNNNNNNNNNNNNNNNNNNNNNNNNNNNNNNNNNNNNNNNNNNNNNNNNNNNNNNNNNNNNNNNNNNNNNNNNNNNNNNNNNNNNNNNNNNNNNNNNNNNNNNNNNNNNNNNNNNNNNNNNNNNNNNNNNNNNNNNNNNNNNNNNNNNNNNNNNNNNNNNNNNNNNNNNNNNNNNNNNNNNNNNNNNNNNNNNNNNNUUAUCCCGGGAUUAACUUACCUUAUCCCGGGAUUAACUUACCUUAUCCAUUACACCAAACGACCCCUAAGUCUUAAAACAAAGUUAAAAGCCUUUGCAAAAGACUUCUUGAAAAGACUCUAAGAAUUUCUUAGACUUGGCUCUUGACUUUCCUUGAAUUUAAAUUUAGGAAUUCAAGGUUAUGGUUUAUGUUUCUGGAUGAUUUCUAGACGUUUAGAAGUCAUUUAGAGUAGUUAGAAUCAAUGGAAAGUGUUAGUACACUUUAGAAGAACUUAAAUAGGCUAGACGACGGAAAACUGACGAAAAACGACGAUUUGGGCGCAUCCCGGGCGCGCUGCGCCAGCCCCAACUUACUGGGGCUCAAAUCUGGCGCACUGUUGGCGCGCUGCCCCAUCCCCUCGGGCGCAUCUGGGGCGCGUUGCGCCAGCCUCCCUUCAAGCAAAAUUCUAACGAACUUUUGCUCUCGUUUUCUGAUCCUAAAUCGUUUUAAUCUAAUUCUUUUUCUCAAUUUCACUUUAGAUUUAUGUACCCAAAUCAUAUACACAAGGAUCUAACUCAAGGAACUCAAGAACUAACAACUUAGUCAUCAAGAACUCCUAAAACUCAACUCAUGUUCAAGAACAAAAGUAAUUCAAGAACCACAUUCAAUAACAUUCAAAAUCCAAUCUUUUUGAAAUGAAAUCGCUGAAUCAAACAUGCUUGGCACGUGGGUAAACGAACCCAACAUUGAGAUAGACUCACAUACCUUAAUUGAUUGAAUCCUCGGCCAAAUUCGCAAGCAAUUCCUUACGACGACAACGAAUCUAGCUUUUUCCUCCUUUGUCUUUUCUUGCGUUCUUCCUCCAAAACCCUAGUUCUAUUUGGUAAAUGUCUAAACUGAUUUAAUUCAGCUUAGACCCCUAAUUAAUUACCAAAAAUGAAUUAAAAUAAAAGGGUAAGGAAAAGACCAAACUACCCUUUAAAAUCCGGAUUGGACAUUUCCUUAAUCCAACAACCCAACUUCCAAAGGGAAUAUCUCACUCAUAUGAACUCGUAAUCGUGCAAACUUGGCGGCGUUGGAAAGAUAAUUCCAAGAGCUUUACAAUUAUACCUGGAAGUACACCUAACUCAUCUUGAUCUAGGAGUUAUCUCCGUUUGAAGUUGGCCCAAAAAUCAACUUUUCUUAACUUAAACAAAUUUUCCAGAUUUUUGUUAUUUCCAAAAAAAAUGACUAUUUCAACUUCUUAGCUUCUUCCUAGUUAUUUCAAUUUGUGAGAUGUUACAUGUGUCUCACUGUGAUUUACAAUUACUGAAUUACCAGCUUAAGUAGGGCUAGAAAAAAAUGUUUUGUUUGAUGGGAGAUCAAUCUAAUUGUGAUUGAAAGUGAAAGAAGGGAGCACGGAAUGUUGGAGCCAAUACACCAACCGAUAACCAUCCAUUAAUUCCUAACCCGAUACCGAGUCAACCGAUAGCUUAUCCAUUGGCUAGCAGAUUAAUUUCUUUCUCGUGUUUGUAAUUUUAUCUUGUUUUAUUUUUUCUUUCACUUAGACUCCAUAUUUAUUUAUUAAGAAAUUAAUUAAAUAUAUAAUUAUGAAUUUGGUAAUUAGAAUGAGUUGUGAGAGUUAAACGAUAAAUUCAAAAUUUAUAGAAAUCAAAUUUUGGCUCCAUUUCUGAAAGGUGAGGUAAAGAUAGGGCUUGGAGUUUAUGAAAUCUAGAUUUUAGAAAAAGACCGCACCUUAAUAGGCUUUUGAUAGAUUAUUUGAAAAUUUUAAAUAUUAAUAUAUGAUUUGAGCUGAAGUUACUAAACACUUUUCGAACCCAAGCUAUACUUCUUUCUCAGGGUAUACCCUCCACAACUUCACUCUUAAUCAUAUAUUUUGACUUUGAAUCAUUCUAGUACUAGAAUAAGGAUAAUCAGCUAGGCAAUUAAGCAACACUUUCUGGCAUGGUGGUACAACUGCCAACAACUAGAAACAUUUUUCAUAUUUCUUAAAUUCAAUCAAUGUAGUAACUUGUAAACUUAAGUUUCAUAGUUAAGAUAUGGUAAAAAAAAUAAAAAUAAUAUCUCUUUUAUUGAGUAAGGUAUAAUCUACAGAAAUUUUUAUGGGCCUCAAAAAUGGGCUGCUCCUUUUAAACAUGGGAUGGGCUUCUCUUCUCUUAAUGGGCCUUAUGCUGCACGAGCCUGUAUUAGUUGGAGCUCCGAAACAGGAAUAGAACACCGGGUUAAGGAUUUGAAAAUUAUCUUUCCAAAUGACAUUCAAGCUAGGUGCUCUAAUAUAUUUUACUCGCUUUCCUUAACUUCCUUGAUUUAUCUUUAUCUAUACUGACAGUGUAAAACUUAUCACUUAUAAUAGUUAACACGUUAUUUUCCUGAUUUCAAAUUAUUAAUCUCAUGAAGUUUCACUUAUAGUUACUUUUAGAUGACUUGAUAGUGAAAAAAAAUAUUCUUUGAAACUUUGUUUCAAAUUGUCUAGCAUACAAUUAUCCCAGAACAAUGUAGGGGCGGAUCUAGUGAAGCAGCUACGAGUUCAUUCGAACCAAGUAGCUUUGCUUAAGACUCUUUAUAUAUGUUAAAAAAUGAAUUACAUAUUUUUCAACCUUUCAAAAUAAAUGGUACUUGUAUUGUUACCAUGUAGUACCUAAGUGUAAUGGUUACGCAUAAUUUGUAAAUUUUGUAAUGAAGGGUCUAUCGGAAACAACCUCUCUUCUCUACCUCCACAAGUUAUGAUAAGGUCUGCAUACACACUACCCUCCUCCUCAGACCGCACUUGUGGGAUUACAUUGAGUAUGUUGUUGUUUGUUCAUUUAGUUGUUGUGAAAAACUAUAAGAUAGUACCAUUUUUUGUUGUGUGUUACACAUGAUUCAGUCCUUAAGACAGCAAAGCUGGUCUUCUGUAGGAGAUAUUUGUCUCAAGUUCACAUUUGAUAUGUGUUACACAUGGUUCUAUAUAUGUGGAUAGGAAAAAUCUAUGUAGGAGAUAUUUGUCUUAAAUAACAUCACCAUUGAUGCUGGAAUACAAAUCACUUUCCCUAGCCUAGAAGUUUUGCAGUUUUCUUGUAAACUGAAGGAUUUUUCACACUUGUUGAGAAAUGUAAAGACAUUUGUGUACUUGGAUAUUUCUGCUCCCAAUUGCACACGCAAAUGUAUGUGGUCGCGGAAGAAAUAUAGUGACUCUUAACAGAAUCGGAUUAUAUAUCGAACCCAAAAGACUUGUCAAUUAACUAUUUUACUAAAUUAUACUGGUCUAAUUAUUUAUUUAAGAGUGCCAAAAGAAUUGACUUUUAUUUAAAUACUAAGAAUGCAAGAAUUAAAUAAUAAAAUUACUUACAAUGGUUGGAAAAUUUCAGGGCCGCAACAUGCAUAGGGUUCAUGUAUCACAUCUCAUGCAUGAAUUAACUACAGUUAUCAAAUUACUGAUUUACACGGUUGAUUUUAUGAUCGAUCAUGGUCUUCCGACCUCUAAUCGUCUACUCAAUUUAGUUGUUUAACUACAUCGUUGAGUGAGGAUAGACAGUCCUAAUUGACGAGCAUUUAUAUUUCCUCAUGUUUUGUGACCAAGCUAGGUGUUCGUCUGAGCGUCAUUCCUAAACACAAAUCAACUCAAUUUAAUGGAAGAUCAACCUUUUUGUAUCCAUUGGUCUAUCUACCUUAGUGUCUCCUGAUUUUAAGAGUAGACAAUAGAUUUAUCUCUAUGAUGGCCAGUCAAGAAAUACUAAAACAAGAAUACAAAAGUAAUUUAAGCGAUAAUCGAUGUUCAACACUUACACAUAGCUACAACCCUAGAACAAGGGCCUUUAACUACUAAUGUCUAAGAAAAUAUAUAGAAGCCUAAAAAGUAUUGACAACUUUAUAGUUAUACCUAUGAUUCAUCUCCCCCAAUAAUUAUUUCUAUGAACUAUUUAUAGAUAUAGAAAAUUCCAAAUAAAAUAACUGAGUCCAAAACAAAUCGGAAAAUCAAAACCAAACGGAAUUUGACUUCCACGUCAACAAUGGUCGUCCAACUGCCUCAAUUCUCUUUGCUGCCUUCAGAAUCAGCCACGUGGCAACUAAUGUAGGUAAACUUCAUUAAUUUCCUUUCUUUGUACGUUUGAAUGAAUAUUAAGUUGUCUGCUUGAUUUUCUUCUAUAAUCUUUCAUCUUUAAUUCGUUUUAGGUCCAAAUUUUUUCAUCUUCACACCAAUUUAAUCUUAUAAAUAAAAUACACUACUUAGCAUAAUUCAUAAAAUUCAUGCUAAAAAAGGACAAAUAUAUAUAAUAAAUGUAAGGUAAAUAAUGAUUAAAAUAUAUAUUUUUAGCCUCAUAUCAAUAAGAUUCGUGGUCAAAUCCCUAACUGGUUUAAUGGCAUGAGGUGGGGUUCGUAAACCUUUCACAUAAUUCAUUAACAGGCCACCUACCAAAAUUUCAUUACCAUAAUGUAGAGUAUCUUGAUCUUAAAUUUAACUCCCUUCGGGGUCCACUACCUUCAUCCAUAUGUAACCUAAUAUAUAUUCCUUUAACAAUCUGUACAUUGAAGCAACUCACACUUUUAGAUCUUUGGAGGAGAAAUUCCUGCAUUUGAAAGUUCGAUUUUUUUGUGUUUGCCGUAGCAGUGGACUUAUAGGCCUAUUCAUCCUUGUAAUGAAAAUUGAACAUGAAUGAAAAUAAAAACCAAAUGAAAGAAAAAAAAUAUGGAGUAUAUAUUAUUUUGUUAGGUCUUCUUCGUCCUCUAACAAACACUACAAAAUAUGAGUAAUAAGUUGUUAGAAGUGAGUAGUACUCAUCUAUGGACCACAAGUUGCGUACCAUUUAUGAUUGUAUAGAUUCCAUGGAAAAAUUGCAUAGAAAUUUAAUGCAUUUGUACAACUUGGUUUCCUCUAUUCCGAAUGUACAAUAAUUGUUCUCACAAUUGGUUCAAUGACGCGUUUUGACCUUUUAUGAUUAUAUAGAUUCCGUGGAAAAAUUGUACUAAAAUUUAUUGCAUUCAUACAACUUGGUUUCACUUGAUUAAAGGGACCAAUUUCACAUCAUCUUGCUUAACACAUACUGCAGAGAUAGUCGAUCUAUGACCUCGAAAUGAACAACAACAUCUAGAGAAAAUGAGGACAUAGUGAGUAUUAUAUUGUUAAGUCUUCUUCGUGCUCUAAAAAAUCUCGUGAAACACUACAAAAUAUGUGUAACAUGUUGUUAUAAGUGACUAGUACUUAUUCAUGAAGUACAGGUGACUUUGAGUCUUCCUGGAAAUUGACUUUAACACUUAGGAUGUGUUUCUUUUCUUUCGUUAAUUUGUACCUCAUAGUCCCAUGCAUAGACAAGUCAGCAAUGCUACUUUAUGAAAUAUCGUUUAGUUAAUUAAUUGUUCACAUUAUUUAAUGUGGAGGUCGUUAUAACAAUUAAGAGAUGAAAUGGUGUUUAGUUAAUUAUAUCAUCAUUUCUUACGUGACUACUUAUUUUAUUAACUUAUUUAUAUCUGGGCAAUUAUCAUGAACCCGCAUUAUUAUUUUUACGUUUAUCUUUUUUAUUCUUUCAUUAUUAAAUACUCUAAAGUCUAUCAAACGGUAAAACCUUUUGAAUUAUACAAACAAUAUUGUUGGGUGUUAAUAAAAAGAUCAAUCUGUUUUUUGGUGUAUUCUUUAAAUUACAAGCACUAUAACAAAAACAACUUUUAGCUCAAAAGUCACUUAACUAUGAAUUCUUUUCUCAAAAAGUCACUCAACAUUGAAUUUUAACACAAAUAUCACUCAAUUAUGAGUGGUUUACUUACAAAGUCACUCAAUUAUGAUUGUUUUACUUACAAAGUCUGUUAACAUAUUUAAUUGUUUUUUUAAUUAAAAUUUGUUGGUAUAAUUUUCUUAUUUAAAAUUAAUAUUUUAAAAAAAAGUAAUAUCCAUUAAAUAAUUUAAUGAUCUGCCCCGCUAAAAAUAUAAUAUUGAUUUUUUUUUUAAUUGGAAUUCAAGAAUAAUACGGGAAUAAAUUAUUCCAUGCAUCAGAAUUCUAAGCAUUAUGAGGAAUAAAUUAAUUUCCUCUUCAUCCCCUCCCCCUUUCUCAGUUGCUGCCUCUUCUUCCUCUUUUAGUUUUUUUAAUUGGAAUUCAAAAAUAAUACUGGAAUAAUUUCAUGCAUCAGAAUUCCUAAAGCAGAGGAGAAAGAAUCCGACAAUAAUUUAGGAGAAUUAGCGGUAAAAUAAAAUGGGUCAAUAUUAUAUUUUUAGGAGGUCAUUCAUUAAAUGAUUUAAAUGAAUAUUUUUUUAUUUUUUAAAAUAUUGCUUUUAAUAAAAUUUUAUACCAGCAAAUUUAAUUAAAAAAUUAACUAAAUAGGUCAAAUGACUUUGUAAGUAAAAUACUUAUAGUUGAGUGACUUUGUAAGUAAAACACUCAUCAUUGAGUGACCUUUUAGUUAAAAUUCAAGUUGAGUGACUUUCUGAGAAAAGAAGUCAUAGUUGAGUGACUUUCUGAGAAAAAAAAUUCAUAGUUGAGUGACUUUCUGAGAGAGUAGUGCAUAACUGAGUGACAAUAUUAUAUUACGUGGUUUUGAGUAAGUUUUAUUAUUCUAACUUUAUAUUAUAUAUUUUUUCAUUGAAAAUUUUCGUUGUUUGUAUUCUUACUUCAUAAUGGUCUAUGACUUUGUGUACAUCCUACCUUCUUGAAACUUUACUUGUAGGAUUACAUUAAUCAGUAUGUUAUAAGUAUUCAAUUUAUGUUCGAGUAAUCAACACCAAAUAUUUGGGCAUAUCCCUUGACAACAAGCCUAGCCUUGUAUUUAUUGAUAGAACCAUCAGAAUUGAGCUUGGUUCUAAACACCCAUUUUACUCCAAUGACCUUCAUAUCUUUCAGUCGGUCGACUAACUCCCAAGUUUUGUUUUUCUUGAUCAUUAGCAUCUCCUGCUCCAUUGGCGUUUUCUCCAUUUUUUAUCUUGAAGUGCUUCAUCGUGCCCUGCAGGCUCACAAACUGCCACAUUACUUUGUUGGUAGAUGUCAGAGAGUAGUCUUGUACCUCUAAUUGGAAGAUCAUCCACCAACUCAUUUUUCCAGUGAUCCGAUGCCUGCUCCUCUGAAGCUUUGACUGAAAGUUGAUUGUCCUUCCAGUCCCAUUUCUCUUCAUCAACAAAGUGCACAUCUCUACUGACAAUCAUCUUCCCUGUUUGUGGAUUAUAUACUUUGUAGGCCUUGGAGGAUGAGCUACAACCCACAAAUAUUCCAGGAAGUGCCUUCUUGUCAAGUUUGUCUCUUUUAACCUGUGGCACAUGGAAGAAACAAACACAACCAAAUACUUUAGUGAAGCUUAGUGAUGGUUUGUAUCCAUUCCAAGCCUCAAAUGGAGUUUUAUUCAACAAUGCUUUAGUAGGAAGCUGAUUUUGGAGAAAUAUUGCCGUAUUAGCUGCCUCAGUCCAAAAACUUUUCGGCAACUCUUUUUCAUGCAACAUGCACCGCGACAUCUCCAUUAUAUAUCUGUUUCUCUUUUCACUAACUCCAUUUUGUUGCGGAGUAUAUGGAGCAGUAAGCUGAUGAGUAAUACCCGCUUUCUCACAAAAUUUGUUAAAUUGUUCAAAAUUAUACUCUUUUCCAUUGUCAGACCACAGAGAUUGGAUUCUGCAACCACUUUGAUUUUCCACCAUCUUCUUGAACUUCAAGAAAAUUCCAGCCACUUCUGAUUUAUAUUUCAUAAAAAAAAUCCAGCAGAAUCUUGUAUAGUCGUCAAUGAAUAUAACGUAGUAUAGACUACCAUUAAGGGAUGGUGUUCUUUGAGGUCCUGCAACAUCUGUGUGAAUCAGUUGCAACCUUUGAGAAGUCCGCCAUGUUGCUUUAGGAAAUGACUUCUUAUUCUGCUUACCAAAUUGACAAGCUUGACAACUUGGUAAGUGAUCAACUAGAGUUGGUAGUCCUCUUGUCAUAUCUUCCUUCUCCAGCAACAAUAGUGCUUGUAGAUGGCAAUGGCCAAGUCUCUUGUGCCAGGUUUCCGUUACACUUGCCUUCAUGGAAUAAGCUAGUCACUCUUUCUCUGUUGGAUCAAAGGAAAAAAUCCUUCCUCUCAUCUUCACCCUGAAAAUUUCAUUUCCAGUAGUGUCACUGAUUUGACAGUGAUGAUCUUCGAAGAAAACCUUGAAUUCUUUUUCCAUCAGAUGUCCUACGCUUAGCAAAUUCUGAUCAAUUUCAAGAACAUACAGAACCUCUGAAAUUUUCUUUGUGCCAGUGCUCGUCUUGAUAGCUAUGGUUCCAAUUCCUUUGACAGGAAGGUGAUCUCCAGUUCCUAUCCAAACCUUCGAAAUUUCAGUGGGCUUCAACUCCUUGAAUAAACUCUCGUCAUGAGUCAUGUGGUUAGUGCAACCUGUAGUAUCCGGAAAUUUGAAAAUAGCUAUGACGAGGCUGAGAAUUGGAAAUAGUCACUUUUUGGAAAGAAUUCAAAUCUGGAAAUUUGGUUAAGUGUGGGAAAAAAAUGAGUUUUUGGCCAACUUUGAACAGUCAUAACUCCUAGAUCAGGAUAAGUUAGGUGUAGUUCCAGUUAUUUUUGCGAAGCCCUUGGAAUGAUCUUUCCAACACUGCCGAGUUUGCUCGAUUCCGAGUUUGUAUGAGUGAGUUAUGCCCUUUGGAAGUUGGGUUGUUGGUAUAGGAAAGUUCACCCGAAAUUGUAAGGGUAUUUUGGUCUUUUCCCUAACCAAUUCUUUUGGUUAUAUUAGUGUGUUAGACUGAUUUUGGAUUAGUUUUUCCCAUUUUAAAGAGUAAGAGAGAGGGUUUGUGAGUGAAGAGGAGAAGAAGAGGAGAAAGAGGGGAUCAAGCAAGGAUUCAUCAAAGAUCGUCGUGGAUAUCGUCGGGGGUGAUCCCUACUAGGUAUGUGAGUUCAUAGUGUUGGGUUGGUUCUUUCCCCCACACGCCAAUCUCGUUUUAAUUUCGAGAAAAGAUUGAUUGUGUUUGUUGAAGUUGUUGGUUGUGAUUGUGUUGAAGUUCUUGUUGAUUUGGGCAUGUUUUCGGUUGUGUUUCUGGGUUAAAUAUAUUGUAUGUUGAGGGGUUUUAUGAUAUUAAGUGUUUGGGGCUGGAAACUUUGAAGUUGGGAAGGUUUAGAAUUGGAAAAACAAGGAAGAAAAGUCGAAUUUUCGAGGGAAAAGGGGUGGGCCAUCGCGCCUGCCAGCGCGCCCCAAAAGGGGUUCUGAACUUUCCCCCUUGGGGCGGCGCACCUAGCAGCGCGCCAGCAGGCCCCUCUGAAGUUUUAGGGCUGGCGCCCCGCGCCUCUCAGAGCAACAAGGACGCCAACCUUUCCCAUUCAUUCCCCACAUUUUCAUGCAUGUUCCUUAGUAUUGUACUUAUGUUUCAUAGUUGUUUCCAACACUCCAAGGUACGUCUAAACGUCAAGAACUCAUCGAUAAACAUGUGAUCAUAUACCUUGAAUCCAUAAUCCAAUUCAAGGCGAGUUAGGAUCAAGUCAAAGUGAAGUUAAGGGUCAAGUCUAGAAGUUAAGAAGCAAGUCAAAGCAAGUUUUCAAAGGUGUUCAAGAGUCUUUAUUGAACGUUCUAACUUCAUUUUAAGGCUCAAGUUUCAAGUCAAGUAAAGAGUAUAGAGCUUCAAGCUAAGUAAAGAGUCUCAGGUUUCAAGUUAAGUCAAGAGUAUAAAGUUGAGUUCAUUUCUCAAAAACUAUUAGGGACCUAAGUAUUCCCAAAGACGUUUAUAAAUGUUUUUACAUUUGAGUAAGAAGGGAACCAUGUUCUCCAAAAAGAGCCUUUGGGCUAAGUUUGAGUAAUUAUCUCAACUAAAGAAAGAUUUGUUUAAAACACUUAUGAGCUAAAAUAUAUUUUUGGGAGUAGUCUUGAGCACCGAGUUGGGGACAUGAGUUCAUAUUAACUCAACUCUCCAUAAGAACCAUGUGGCCAACAUGGGAUUUAACGGGUCAUACUUUUUAGAUAAUCACGUAAGUUAAGCUAGUGGAUCCACUUAGUAAAGUUAGCUUCCUAUAUCACGGCAAGGUAUAGGAUGGGCCUCGGCAGUGCGAGGUAAAGCGCUGUAUCAUCACUAUAGUUCUUAAAUGAUGGUUGUCGGAUAGAGAAACUCCCACAGCAGUAGAAAGUGCUUGGUUCCUCGAGGAGUUCUGCUUAGUAUGAAUGGGGGUAUGGGACUUCAUUCAUACAUUGCACAAGUAGACCUUGAGAGGAAGCAUGGUAUUUUCAUGAUAUUAAAAAUAUGAUUUUUACGUCAUGUUUUAAGAGUUUUACAAGCUUUAUAUAUUGCAUGUGUCUUAUUGCUUUAUAUAUUGAGUUCAGUUAUUCAUGAGUCCUCCUUGCUUUCCAUAGGACUCGGUUAUUUUGUGUUCUUAGUUUUGUUUUAUUAGGGUGUUGCGGGGUCUGUCCCAACAUCCAUCUCAGUAUUUUUAGAGGCUUCACAGACAGUCAGUCAGUAAGUUUUGAGUCUCUCAUCUAUGUAUAUAUAUAAUAUUCUAUUUUGAGACGCGAGUUGCUUUUUUGGCUAGCUUUUGUCAGUUAGGUUGUUUUAUGACCUUUCAUUGCAUUGAGUUAUGCUGUUGAGUUAAGUUUCUGUUGAGUUAAGAAAAGCCAGGCCAAGGGUUCGCUUGGGGGCCAACAAUGGUGUUCGAGUGCCGGCCACGUCCAGGGUGUAGGUUCGGGGCGUGACACAACCACUGUCAACUAACCAAGAAUCUGUUGAGCUCUUACUUGAAAAGCAUGUUGCAAUAAAAGGAUGAUCUUCUUCUUCUUGAUCAACAACUUGAGCAUUUCCUUCCUCCUGCGGGGCCUAAUUCUUGCAAAUCACUGCUUCGUGUCCAAGCUUAUUGCAUUUCUUACAUUUAGCAUCAAGUCUCUUCCAACACUUGAAUGGUGCAUGGCCUUUUCUUCCACAAUGGUGACAAGGGGGAUAACUUUUUUUCGCACUUCCUCCCUUAGUUUUGUUGUUGGCUGAUGUUUCUCCUUCACACACUGCUUGAUUCUUUUUCUUCUUCUGAAUUUUGUUAACCUGAUGCUUACUGACAAGUGCCCCUUCUGUUGUAACCUCCUGUCUCAUGAGUCUUCUUUGCUCUUGAGCUUUCAGGGAAUUGAGCAACUCUGUCAAACUAAUCUUUGACAAAUCCUUAGUAUUUUAUAAGGUUGUAAUUGUUGCUUCAUACCUUUCAGGAACUGUUACAAGGAUCUUCUCAACAAUUCUCGAGUCUGAAAAUGUAGAGCCGAGUAGCCUCACCUUUUUUGCAAUAUUUAGAAGUCUAUCCGAAUAUUCCUUCACUGUUUCAGAUUCCUUCAUUUUUUGCAAUUCAAACUCCCUAAUUAAGUUUAAAACUUGCAUACCUUUUAUUCUCUCAUCUCCAGAAUACUCUUCCUUAAGAUAAUCCCAUACUUCUUUAGCAGUUUUCAGAGACAUUAUUCGCGUGAAAACUAUUGACGAUACAACAGCAAAUAAACAUGCCUUGGCCUUCGAUUUCUUUGUCUUCUGUUCCUUGUGUGCUUUAAUCUGAGCAAUGGUAGGAUUAUUUGGUAGGGCUGGAAUAUCGUAAUCCUCUUCCACAGCUUCCCAGAGAUCCAAAGCAUCCAAGUACGUCUCCAUUCAUACUGCCCAAAUCUGAUAAUUAUCUCCAUCAAAGACCGGCGGAGCAAUUGGUGAGAAACUUGCUUCAGCAUCCAUGGCUACUCCAACUCGAUCACAAAUCCCUUAAGAUGAAAGCUCUGAUACCAACUGUUUUUAGUAAGACUAAUGACAGAUAACACAAUGAAGACAAUGUCUAGUUUGCUACAGAAAGGAAAGCAGGAGAAUACAAGGAAUUUAAAUGUGAAGAUAACUAAGAGAAAAGCUUAUGCAGAAAGUUGUAUUUCAGUAAAAUCAACCAAAAAUACAUAAACAUACAAUUAAGUAACUGAUAUAGAUCAUGGUCCUACUUUUAAGUCAUGGUACUAACCAUGGUAACUACCCCUAAAAUAACUGAAAAAAGAAAUACAGGAAACUUAGAAAUAGAUCCUGCAGUCCUAAAGCAACUAACUAAUAGUCGUAAAUGGUAAUCGAUUUGAAGGACCUGUCCCUGUGUCGUUGCUCAAAUGUCAUAAUUUAGAAGUUCUUGAUGUGGGGAACAAUGCUAUAAAUGACACGUUUCCAUCUUGGCUUGAAAUUCUUCAAGAGCUGCAGGUCCUUAUAUUAAAGUCGAACAAGUUCCAUGGACCUAUAAGUACGUGUCAAACUAAGUUUUGCUUUCCCAAGUUGCGAAUUUUUUAUUUUUCUCGUAAUGAUUUCAGUGGCUCACUUCCUGCAAAAGUUUUUGGAAACUUCAAGGCAAUGAUCAAAUUAGAUGACGAAGACACAAGAGAGAUCAGGUACAUGGAAUCUAUGUCGAAUUUGUCAUCUAUCGCAUCGUAUGAGGAAUCAGUGAGUUUGGUAAUCAAAGGGCACGUUAUUGAGCUACAAAGAAUCAGCACAAUUAUGACAACCAUAGAUCUCUCAAGCAACCAUUUUGAAGGUGUCAUUCCGGAAACACUAAAAGAUCUCAGCUCACUUUGGCUACUCAAUUUAUCCCAUAACAAUCUCAUAGGUCAUAUUCCAAUGGAAUUGGGGCAAUUGAAUACACUUGAAGCUUUAGAUCUCUCCUGGAAUUGGCUCACUGGAAAGAUUCCGCAGGAAUUAACAAGAAUGAACUUUCUGGCCUUCUUAAACAUCUCUCAAAAUCAUCUCGUCGGACCAAUUCCUCACAGUCUACAGUUCAACACAUUUGAAAAUGACUCGUAUGGCGGCAACCUUGAUUUAUGUGGUCCUCCUUUAUCAAAACAAUGUGGAACGAGAGAUUCAUCACAUGUUCCUCAAGCAUUGGAGUCCUAUUUUUUUAGUGGAUUUACAUGGGAAUCAGUAGUCAUAGGCUACAGUUUUGGACUAGUUGUUGGAACUGUCAUGUGGAGUCUCAUGUUUAAAUAUCGUAAGCCAAAAUGGUUAGUGGAAUUUUUUGAUGGACUCAUGCCUCAGAAAAGAAGAAGGCCAAAGAAGAGAGCUCAGAGACGACGGACUUAAUGGAAGAUUGAGAGGGGCCAACUUGUCUUUGUUUGAUUUUGUGGACUAAUUAGUGAACUUCUCUGGUUCUGUUUUUGUCUUUUUAAUAUUCUGUUUGUUGUUUGUAUAUGUUUGAUAGAAACAUAAUUAUAUAUGAGUUAUUUUAGUAUCAAUGGUUAUUCAAGUUAUGUUUCUGUUUCAAGUUGACAUAAGUGAUCCACACACCAAACUUAUUAAUUAGCUAUGAUACCCGGACUUUUCAAAAAUGCCAACAGAUACUUGUUGGAUUCUUCAAAGUAUUGCAUUUCUCAAGGAACCAACACAGGUGCGACAUCAUUAUAUUUUAGGAGAGUCGGAGCAACAUAGUUCAUUAGUACAACAAAAAGGAAAAAGCAAAGCAGUAAGCACAUAGAGUUUGGUUCAUGAUUGAAAUCACUUGAUAUUAGAAAGUUCAUAUAUUCAGCAUAACUGCAUGUCCAUUUUACAUUACAGUUCUUCUUAUACAAACUAGAAAAGAAAAUCUUGUGUUUACAGAAACUGAAAAUUGAUUUUCUAUAAUGUAAUACAUUUGCAUUGACCACACUACCCUUUUGUCACAGUGUUUUAUAGGUUACGAAGUUUAAGAAAAAAAAGUAAGAUUUUUUAAAUUUGUGAUUUUGAAUAUGACGUGCGAUUUUUGUGGCUAUAUAUAAAAGUAUGAAGUGUUGAUCUUUUUUGAAAUAGAUUAAUAGGAAAUAGUGUUACGUAAAAUGAAAGACAGAAUGUACUAUAUAGUGUGAUAUUGAACCAGAUCUUGAGAUAUAUAGAGUGCAAACUAGCUAGCUGUAAAGUAUCAACUUUGUCCCCAUUAAGUUUUUUCUACUACAAAAAAACUAGAAAAGUGAAAAGUGUUGUGGAAAAUUAUAGAAUGUACCUAACAUGUUUGAAAACAACUAAUCAGGAAUUUCUGAUACAAUUUCUCUGCAAUCUUUAACAUUAAAUAUUGACCAAGUCAAGUCUCUCUGGUGGUGGAAUUAGAAUGUUGAAUUAGCUUUACUUUUAUUUCUUUCUUGUUUAACAUCUUAUAUUUAUAAAUAAAAUAAGGCAACAUGUCCUAUCAUUAUUAUACUAAAUUUAUUUUUCUUCUUGUUUAAGAGCUUAUAUUUCUGUAAAGAAUGUGUAUGCUAUAUUUUUACAUUUUUCACUUCUGAAUAAGUAGUAGUAUAUGAAUCUUGCAUAAUAUAACCUGCUUUUCCAAGAGGCCUUUGUGUAUUAAAUUUUUUGUAUCUAUUAUCUAGAUUAAGCUUCAUCUAGAUAAUGCAAAAACCGACUCUGGUUAGUCUUCGCGGAAAUUUGCCUAAAGACUUAGAAGUCAUCGUCUGAUAGUUGCAGUAAAGUACCCCUUUUUUCUUUGUUGCUUAAUUAAAUACGAGACGGUCCUAUGAAGAAUAAUGGAGUUUCCCUCAUUAACUUAAUGUGAAAACUCAUGUGUAACUAACAAGUUUGAAAACAGCACAAGAGACAACUAAUCAAACACCAACUUGGAAAUUUCUCAUAAUAGCUUUUAGGAACGCUUUGUAUAAUCCAAUGUUUUUUUGAGCUAUUGACUUAGUACAACACAACAGGAAAAGGCUGCAUCCACCUGUGGGGCUCAUGUUGUUCAUGGGUUAUUUAUCAGUCUAGACCUUAGUGGUAGUUAUCUUUAUGGAACUGUAGAGAAUAGCAGAAGAAAAGUAUAAUCUGCUAGCCCAAGAUCAUUAACUAUAAAAGAUCGGAAUAUUCAACUAAAGAAGAGGAAGCUAGAAAGAACUUGUUUAUGGAAUAAGACUCUUUUAUUUGGGUUGUUCUUGAGUUGUAUACAAAUGACUGAGGCCACCCCUAUUUAUACUUAUGUGGGGAUGGUUCUAGACAUUACAAGAUCUAGACUAUUUUCUACAGUGAGUGUUACAUACGGGACCAAUUUCACAUCAUCUUGCGUAACAAACAAUGCAGAAAUAGUUAAUGACCUCGAAAUGAACAACAACAUCUUGAGAAAAUGAGGACAUAAGGGGUAUUAUUUUGUUAAGUCUUCUCCGUCCUCUAAAAAGUCUUGUGGAACACUACAAAAUAUGAAGUAACAAGUUGUUAGAAGUGAGUAGUACUCAUCCAUGGACCACAAGUUGUGUAGUUAGUGAUGCCAAGGUUGUAUUAUUUUUUCUCCCUUUAUGCCAAAGUUGGACAAAAUGAAUAUUGUAUAUAUAAUUGGUACUAUCAAACAAAAUUUGAAGACUUGAGUCUUUCUGGAAAAUGACUUAAAACACUUUGGACAACUUUUUUGCAAUCACAAAUUAGUUAGUGGUAGAUGUGGGGGCAAAUACCCCAUUUUAUUUGUCUGGAUAUGUUUCAUUCUCUUUUUCUAUUCACACUUUUACAGUAAAGAUGAAAGAGAAAAUAAUUUAUGUGUGAACAAAUUAAAUAUACCACAACAUGAUUUUCUUAAAAAUAAAAAAAAUAAAAAAAGUAAUUUUUGUACAAGUAGGGAUAUAUGUGAAGCCACUUUUGUAACAACGGGUAUAUUAACUCUAAAAUGACAAAGUUGAGGGAUAUAUCAUGCCCUUUUCCUUAAUGUGCCUUGCAAUGAUAACAAUAUAAGUUGAAUAGGAUACAGUUCACUACAAUUAUACCACAAAAACAACUUUUUUGAUGUAGUGUCGAUCACUACACCUUUAUCUUGAGUCGAGGGUCUACGAAAACAGCCUCUCUACUACUUUGGUUAUUCUCCAUCUCUUUCAUGUUUGAACUGUAUCAUAUAGAUGGAGUUUCCCUCAUUAACUAAAUGUGAAAAGUCUUGGAAAACAACACAAGAGACAACUAAUCGGAAAUUUCUCAUAAAAUUUCUAAUUAUGCAGGAAAUUAAGACACAUAUCAAACAAAAUUUUGAAUAAAAAGCAAAUAAAAAAAUUAAAAAAAAAUUCCACACGGUAUUAUUGUUCAUUUUUUUCCUCACUUGACUUAGUCAAGAAAUAGUUUCUCUCAUUGGAAAUUUCUUAGAAGUUCAGCAAAAAACAAUUCCACAUAAUGGGACCAAAUUCACAUCAUCUUGCCUAACACACACUGCAGCGAUAGUUAAUGACCUCAAAAUGAACUCAACAUCUAGAGAAAAUUAGGACAUAAAGAGUAUUAUUUCGUUAAGUCUUCUCCGUACUCUAAAAAGUAUUGUGGAACACUACAAUAUAUGAGUAACAAGUUGAUUUUUAAUACCAUUGUUUAAUCUCCUUAAUGUUUUGAGUAAGAUUUGAUUUUUUUUUUUACGCGAUGCGUGACGCCUAGGCAGACGUGCCCUGAGUAAGAUUUGGUUAUUCUAACUUUAUAUUAUAUUUUUUCAUUGAAUUUUUUUGUUGUUUGUACUCUUCCUUCAUAAAGGUCUGUGUAUAUCCUACCUUCUUGAAACUUUACUCGUAAGAUUACAUUAAUCAUUAUGUUAUAGGUAUUCAAUAUACAUAGGACACUUAGAACUAGUAUAUAUAUGUAUGGAUGAUACUGACUGAUUUGUAAGAAGAACACAUCCAUCCUGAACACAAACAAACAAAAAAUGGUCAUGAGUCUGUUUUUCUUUUAUUCAUUUCUAUGUUUUGUGUUUUUAUUAAGUGAAUGCUUUUCUUCAUCCUUUGAUCAUCAUCUUUGCUCUCCCACUGAAGUUUCUGCUUUGCUUCAGUUUAAGCAAUCCUUUAAAAUAUCUGAUUACUCUACUCUUCAGUGUGAUACUUCUUUCCCAAAAACAAAGUCUUGGAAUGAGAGUAGGGAUUGCUGCAGUUGGGAUGGAGUCACUUGUGACUUAUUAAACGGUCAUGUUAUCGGGUUAGACCUUAGCUGUAGUCAGCUUCGUGGAAGUAUUCAUCCCAAUAGCAGCCUCUUCCAACUUCAUCAUCUCCAAACACUAAACCUUGCUUACAAUAACUUUUCAACUUCUUCAAUCUCACAUAACAUUGGCCGAUUGAGGAAUUUGAGGCAUCUCAACCUUUCUAAUUCUUUCUUUAGUGGGAAAAUCCCAACAGAAAUCUCAUUCCUUUCCAAUUUGGUUUCACUUGAUCUUUCUUAUAGUUAUGGAUUACAACUUGAUGAGAGAACAUUUGAAACAAUGCUUCACAACUUUACAAAUCUGGAGGUACUAGCUCUCUUUCUUGGCAACAUCUCGUCACCGAUACCUGUAAGUAUUCAUCCCAAUAGCAGCCUCUUCCAGCUUCAUCAUCUCCACACACUAAACCUUGUUAACAAUUUCUUUUAUCCUUCUUCAAUCCCAAAUGGCAUUGGCCGAUUGAGGAAUUUGAGGCAUCUAAAACUCUAUGAAUUUCAAGGGAAAAUCCCAACAGAAAUCUCACACCUUUCCAAUUUGGUUUCACUUGAUCUUUCUUAUAGUUAUGAAAAAUUACAACUUGAUGAGAGAACAUUUGAAGCAAUGUUUCAGAACUUGACAAAUCUGGAGCUACUUUCUCUCUAUGGUGUCAACAUCUCAUCUCCGAUACCUGUUAAUAUUUCUUCAUCCUUAAGGUACCUGGAUCUUGGAUAUACUAAUCUGCGAGGUGUUCUCACAGAGAGCUUUUUCCUUGUGCCAAACUUGGAAAUACUCAAAUUGAGUGGGAAUGAUCUUGUCAAAGGAGUUUUUCCAAAGAUCCACUGGAGCAACACUCUGUUAAUGGAGUUGGAUAUUUCAUCCACAGGCAUCUCUGGUGAGGUGCCUGAUUCAAUUGGCACCUUCAGUUCCUUGAAUAUCUUGAACCUUGCAGGAUGCCAAUUCUCUGGUUCCAUUCCUGAUUCCAUUAGCAACCAAACACAAAUUAGGGAGUUGAUUUUAUAUCAUAAUCAUUUCACUGGCCAUAUUCCUUCCACAAUCUCUAAAUUGAAGCACCUCACACGUUUGGAUCUUUCAAUUAACUCCUUUUCAGGUGAAAUUCCUGAUGUUUUCUCAAACCUCCAAGAGCUACGUACUUUACAUCUUUCUUAUAACAGCUUCAUCGGUUCGUUUCCCGCUUCAAUUUUAAGUUUGACACAUCUUGAAUACUUAGGAUUGUCGAGUAAUUCCCUAUCUGGCCCACUGCCUAGCAACCAAAGCAUGCUUCAAAAGCUAACCGAACUGAAUUUGUCAUACAACUCACUGAAUGGUACCAUACCAUCUUGGGUGUUUAGCCUACCUUUGCUAUCUUCAGUGUCGCUCCAACAUAACCGAUUCAGAGGACUAGCCGAUGAAGUGAUCAAAACAAACCCAACAUUAAAACAACUGCAAUUAAGCAAUAAUCAACUCAGUGGUUCUUUUCCUCAAUCACUUGUGAAUCUCACAAACCUUGAAACCCUUGGAAUUUCAUCAAAUAACAUCACCAUUGAUGGGGGAAUGAAUAUCACCUUUCAUAGACUAUCAUCUUUAUUCUUAUCAUCUUGUGAACUGAAGGAUUUUCCACACUUCUUGAGAAAUGUAAAGACACUUGUGUACUUGGAUAUUUCUAACAAUAAGAUUUGUGGUCAAAUCCCUAACUGGUUUAGUGGCAUGAGGUGGGACUCGUUGCAGUUCCUAAACCUUUCUCAAAAUUCAUUAACAGGCCACCUACCACAAUUUCGUUACGAUAACCUACAGUAUCUUGAUCUGAAAUUUAACUACCUUCAGGGUCCACUAGCUUUAUCCAUUUGUAACAUGAGGAAACUUAUCUUAUUAGAUUUAUCACACAACUACUUCAGUGACUCAGUUCCACAUUGCUUGGGAAGCAUGCCUAAUCUAACGGUGCUGGACUUAAGAAGGAACAAUUUCACAGGGAGUCUUCCCCCAUUAUGUGCACACAGCACUUCGUUGAGUACCAUUGUCAUAAAUGGUAAUCCUUCCUGCAAAAGUUUUUGGAAACUUCAAGGCAAUGAUCAAAUUAGAUGACGAAGACACAAGAGAGAUCAAGUACAUGAAAUCUACGUUGAAUGCGUUAGUUGUCAGAUCGUAUGAGGAUUCGGUGAGUUUGGUGAUCAAAGGGCAGGAUAUUGAGCUAGAAAGAAUCAGCACAAUUAUGACAACCAUAGAUCUCUCCUGGAAUCGGCUCAUUGGAAAGAUUCCGCAGGAAUUGACAAGAAUGAACUUUCUGGCUUUCUUAAACCUCUCUCAAAACCAUCUUGUCGGACCAAUUCCUCACGGUCUACAAUUCAACACAUUUGAAAAUGACUCGUAUGGUGGCAACCUUGAUCUAUGUGGUCUUCCUUUGACAAAGAAAUGUGGAACGAGUGAUUCAUCGCAUGUUCCUCAACAAUUGGAGUCCGAAGAAGAAGAAGGCGAGUCAUAUUUUUUAGUGGAUUUACAUGGGAAUCAGUAGUCAUAGGCUACAGUUUUGGACUAGUUGUUGGAACUGUCAUGUGGAGUCUCAUGUUUAAAUAUCGUAAGCCAAAAUGGUUUGUGGAAUUUUUUGAUGGACUCAUGCCUCAGAAAAGAAGAAGGCCAAAGAAGAGAGCUCAGAGACGAAGGAUUUAAUGGAGGAUUGAUAGGGCUAAUUUGUCUUUGUUUGAUUUUGUGGACUAAUUAGUGAACUGUUCUGCUUUUCCCUCAUUAACUAAAUGCGAAAAGUCUUGAAAAAACAGCACAAGUAUAGAAGAAGCAUGAAAUAGAAAGAGUAGCAUUGCUUAAUCAUCUAGUACUGCUGUAGCUUAUGGUAAUCACUAGUAAUUGAUGAAUCACACUUCAAGCAUAUCAUGAAUUUGGCUUAAAGACUUAGAAGUCAUCGUCUGCUAGUUAAUACGAGAUGGUCCUAUAUAUGAAGAAUAAUGGAGUUUCCCUCAUUAACUUAAUGUGAAAAGUCUUGUGUAUCUAACAAGUUAGAAUGUUCAAAUACUUUUAACUAUAUAGUUUUAUUAUUAUUUUGUAUUCUUCUGCUUUGCGUAUCAUCGAGUUUCUCUUACAUACUCUGAUCCCUGAUUUUGUAAGAAUAGAACAUCCCGUUAUUUGGUGAAUACAAAAAAAGAGUCUCUUUUUCUUUUAUUCAUUUCUCUGUUUUGUGUUGCUAAUAAGUCUAUGCUUUUCUUCUUCCCUUUGAGCAUCAUUUUUGCUCUCCCAAGUAGACACUUUAAAACAAAUAUAAAACAUUACAUUUUAAAAUAAAAUGACAAAAGUGAAUAAAUUAAUCAGUGGAUUUACGUGGGAAUCAGUGGUCAUAGGCUACAUUUCACUACAAGUCUACGAUAAAAAAUAACUUUAGCAGGCAAUAAAUAUACACAUUAACAAAGAGUGACUAAAACCUUUACUGGUAUUAAUUAAUUGUCAUUAGAUUCAAUGUCUCUAUAGGCUUUAGGGACACUUAUAAAAAGUGCUAAUUGCCUCUAAAAAUACAUGUUUAGUAGCGAUUAAGCUAUAGCCGUUAAUUAAUUACCCCUAAAGAUCAUUUUUGAUGUAGUGUAGAUCACUACACCUUUAUCUUGAGUCGAGAGUCUAUGGAAACAACACAAGAGACAACUAAUCGUCUAGAGAAAAUGAGUACAUAGGGGGUAUUAUUUUAUUAAGUCUUCUCCAUCCUCUAAAAAGUCUUGUGGAACACUACAAAAUAUGAAGUAACAAGUUGCUAGAAGUAAGUAGUACUCAUCCUGUAAUUCAAUUGUUCAUCAGUCCCGAUUCAUCAUAAUCUUUUUUUUUCCUCUAGUCUUAGUGGAAAUUGGCUCAAAGGCUUACAAGUCAUCGUCCGCUAGUUACAAUACUGUAUCACUUUUUUCCUUAGGUGGAAUAGAAUAUUGAUGGAUUUUCCCUCAUUAACUUAAAAAUGUGAAAACUAUAGUGUACCUAACAAGUUUGAAAAUAGCAGAAUUGACAACUAAUUACUAACUUGGAAUAUUGACAUUUUAUGAUUGUAUAAAUUCCAUAGAAAAAUUGCAUACAAAUUUAUUGCAUUCUCAUAAUUGGUUUCUCUAUUAACUGUUCUCAUAAUUGGUUCAAUGACACGUCUUGACAUUUUAUGAUUAUAUAAAUUCCGUAAAAAAAUGCACUAAAAUUUACUGCAUUCAUACAACUUGGUUUCGCUUGAUUAAAGUGUCCCUUCUUGUCUUAUGGAAGAUGAAAUGGAGUAACAUCAUGUCUUUAUUGUUCAUUUAUUAUUAUUUUUUUCUCAAUUGACUUGGUCAUACAAUAGUUUCUCUCUUUGAAAUGUAUUGUGGGAAACAGAAGAAGAGAUGUUGAUGGAAAGUUAGACAAGAAUGACUUAAAAUAGGAGUUCAAAUUUCUAUCUAUCCNNNNNNNNNNNNNNNNNNNNNNNNNNNNNNNNNNNNNNNNNNNNNNNNNNNNNNNNNNNNNNNNNNNNNNNNNNNNNNNNNNNNNNNNNNNNNNNNNNNNNNNNNNNNNNNNNNNNNNNNNNNNNNNNNNNNNNNNNNNNNNNNNNNNNNNNNNNNNNNNNNNNNNNNNNNNNNNNNNNNNNNNNNNNNNNNNNNNNNNNNNNNNNNNNNNNNNNNNNNNNNNNNNNNNNNNNNNNNNNNNNNNNNNNNNNNNNNNNNNNNNNNNNNNNNNNNNNNNNNNNNNNNNNNNNNNNNNNNNNNNNNNNNNNNNNNNNNNNNNNNNNNNNNNNNNNNNNNNNNNNNUAUUAUUAAGUAUGUUAAAAUAUAAUUAUUAAAAGAUAAAUUAAAAUUAUAAAACCACAAAUACCUAAUAAGAUGUACUAUCAAUUAUUGGUUAUAACUUUCUUGCACUUUAAUUUAAAUUAUAGAUUUAUUUAUAUUUUCAAUUAUUUUUUUAUAAGAACUUUUUAUGUAUAAUAUAAAUUUUGUCUACGUUUAAUAUGCUUAGCUAUGGAUAUUAUCUCAUAGAAAGUGUAAGCAUAAAAUUUUCAUGAUAUGUUGGGUGGUGGUGAUUUAUUUUAAAUAUAUAGUUUCACUUUUUAAGAGUUAAAUCAAAUGAACUUUAGCCAACAUUUAAGAUAUAUUUUUCUACCUUAUUGAUAUAACAUGAAAAGAUUAGCAUUUAUAAUGCUACGACUAAACACAAGUAGAAUAAAAUUUCAAAGAGCAACAAUAAAUGGGUGGGCACCAACAAAUUCAACUGGGCACUCUGAGUGGGGGAAUUAUAAUUGUGUUCAAGUGGUAUGUGAUAAAUCGUACAUAUGCUUCGUCAAUCAGCGGGAACCAACAAUCUAGUGAGAAAUUUCUCAAACCAGUCAUUCUUUUACAUGGAGAACCCACACUGGUGUUUGACUCCAAAGACAUAGAAGCGUUUAUCACGGAGGAGAAUUUAAAAUACGCUCUCAUUGCCAAAUUCUCACAUGGAAGGCCUGAACUUCCAGAUUUACCGAAAAUAUUGUCUCAACAAUUAGGAUUUAAGGGUGAAUGUAACAUUGGGUUAUUAGAAAGUCGGCACGUGUUGCUGUGGUUCACUUUAAAGGAAGAUUAUAUUGCAAUCUUUUCAAAAACUAGUAGGUCGAUUAAGUUCGCUGGUACUGUUAUACCAUUCAGAAUCCAAAAGUGGACUCCCUCUUUUAGUCCUAGGGAAGAAACCUCCAUUGCAAUGGCGUGGAUUUCUUUCCCAAGUUUACCCUGUCAAUAUUUUGCUUGUAAUGCUCUGUUUUCUAUGGCUUCGGCAGUUGGACAACCUCUUGAUGUGGAUUGAGCGACCUAUGAUAAAACACGACCUAGUACUGCAAGGGUAAAAGUCGUGGUGGAUCUUUUAAGGAUCCUUCCAAAAAGAAUUAGAGUUCAAUUCAAAGAUUUAGUCACUGGCGAAAUUACAAACGUAUGGCAAAAAAUCAGGUAUGAUUAUGUACCAUAUUAUUGUAAGAGAUGUAAUCAUCAGGGGCAUAGAGAAGCUGAUUGUCGAACUCUCCGAUGGUCAAGUUGAUGCCAUGGUCAGUGAAAAUCAUAUUGAAGGAGAAAAAUUUCAAGGAGAUCUUCAUGAUCAUCUCAAUUCCUAAAAAACUGAUUUAAACAGGCUGGAAAUUGGUGAAAAGGAUGAUGAAGAAACUGUUAAAGAUUUAGAUGUAGGGGCUGAAAAGAGUGGUGUUCAAAAUCAAAAUUUGGUGCGCCAAAAUUCUGGCCAGCGCCAAGGCAAAGCAAUGUUGGACGACUAUUCUUCAGGGAAUCAAGUAUUAUCCUUAAUUCCUCAAACUGGUGAGUCUUCGCGGCAAAGUUGUAAUUCAGUUGAUCAUGUCUUUAAUUAUUCUUUCAUUUUUUUUCCUCACUUGACUUAGUCAAGCAAUAGUUUCUCUCAUUGGAAAUUUCUUACAAGUUUUGCAGAAUUUUUUUCUACAUAAUGGGACCAAUUUCACAUCAUCUUGCGUUAGUAACACACAACAGAGAGAUAGUUAAUGACUUCGAAAUGAAUACAACAUCAGAGAAAAUUAGGACAUAGGGAGUAUUAUUUUGUUAAGUCUUCUCCGUCCUCUUACAAGUCUUGUGGAACAUUACAAAAUAUGAGUAACAAGUUGUUAGAAGUGACUAGUACUCAUCUUGUAAUUCAAUUGUUCAUCAGUCCCGAUUCAUCAUAAUCUUUUUUGUUCCUCUAGUCUUAGUGGAAAUUGGCUCAAAGGCUUACACGUCAUCGUCCGCUAGUUACAAUACUGUAUCACUUUUUUCCUUAGGUGGAAUCGAAUAUUGAUGGAUUUUCCCUCAUUAACUUAAAAAAUGGGAAAACUAUUGUGUACCUAACAAAUUUGAAAAUAGCAGAAGAGACAACUAAUUAUUAACUUGGAAUAUUGACCUUUUAUGAUUGUAUAAAUUGCAUAGAAAAAUUGCAUACAAAUUUUAUUGCAUUCUCAUAAUUGGUUUCUCUAUUAACUGUUCUCAUAAUUGGUUCAAUGGCGCGUCUUGACUUUUAUGAUUUUAUAGAUUUCGUGGAAAAAUUACACUAAAAUUUAUUGCAUUCAUACAAGUUGGUUUUGUUUGAUUAAAGUUUCCCUUCUUGUCAUAGGGAAGAUAAAAUAGAGUAACAUCAUGUCUUUAUUGCUCAUUUAUUUUUAUUUUUUUGUCAAUUGACUUGGUCAUACAAUAGUUUCUCUCUUUGAAAAGUAUUGUGGAAAACAGAAGAAGAGAUGUUGAUGGAAAGUUAGACAAGAAUGACUUAAAAUAGGAGUUCAAAUUCCUACCUAUCCAUCUAUACUAAUGUUAAAUUGCUAUAAUAUUUUCAACUUAAAAACUACUUAAUUUAGUAUAUUUUCUAUAAUUUAUAAUAUGUUAUAUUAUAUUUAUUUAUUUAAUUUAAAAUAUAGCGUAUUACAUGAUUUAGCAUUCACGUGCAAUGCACGUGCAUCAAAGCUAGUACUAUCUUAAAAACUAUGUUACUAGAUUAUUUUAAAAUGUCAACAGGUACAUGUUAGAUUCUUCAAAAGUUAUGUAUUUUUUAAGGAACCAACAUUGGUGCAACAUCAUCACAUUUUUGGAGAGCCUGAGCAACAUAUACAAGAAAAUUGGAAAAAGAAGUGCAAUAAGCAUAUAGAGUUUGGUUCAUGAUUGAAAUUACUUGAUAUUAGAAAGUUAACAUUUGUGAAAAUUGAUGUUGAAGAGUAGUCAAAACUACAGAAAUGGCUAAUAAUGGGCAAAAUGCUCUCUGGAAUUGGCUCACUGGAAAGAUUCCAAGGGAACUGACAAGACUACAAUUCGAGGCAGACUAAAAACUCUCUCUCAAUGUUCUUAUCAGACCGAUUGCUGUUCCUCAUCUAUUGGAGUCCGAAGAAGAGUCGUAUUUUGCUAGUGGAUUUACGUGGGAAUCAGUGGUCAUAGUUGUGGAUUAGUUGUUGCAACUGUCAUGUGGAGCCUCAUGUCUAAAGCUAAAAUGAAUUGUGGAAUUUUUUGAAGCCAUCUAUAAAAGCAAAAGACAGAAACCUGUGAUCCUUCAAUACAAUUAGUCUCUCAUCAGUUUUCUUUGCUUGUGCAUCAUUUUUUUAUUUGAUCACUACACCUUUGUCUUGAGUCGAGGGUUUACGGAAACAGCCUCUGGUUAUUUUCCAUCACUGUGUAUCAUAUAGAUGGAAUUUCCCUCAUUAACUAAAUGUGAAAAGUCUUGAAAAAACAGCACAAGAAUAGAAGAAGCAUGAAAUAGAAAGAGUAGUAUUGCUUAAUCAGCUAGUACUGUAGCUUAUCGUAAUCACUAGUAAUUGAUGAAUCACACUGCAAGCAUAUCAUGAAUUUGGCUUAAAGACUUAGAAGUCAUCGUCUGCAUGUUAAUACGAGACGGUCCUACGAAGAAUAAUGUAAAAAGUCUUGUGUACCUAACAAGUUAGAAUGUUCAAAUACUUUUAACUAAAAUCUAUCUACAGUUUUAUUAGUAUUUUGUAUUCUUCUGCUUUGUGUAUCAUCGAGUUCUCUUACAUACUCUGAUCCCUGAUUUUGUAAGAACAGAACAUCCUAUUAUUUGGUGAAUACAAAAAAAGAGUCUCUUUUUCUUUUAUUCAUUUCUCUCUUUUGUGUUGCUAAUAAGUCUAUGCUUUUCUUCUUUCCUUUGAGCAUCAUUUUUGCUCUCCCAAGUAGGCACUUUAAAACAAAUAUAAAACAUUACAUUUUAAAAUAAAAUGACAAAAGUGAAUAAAUUAAUCAGUGGUCAUAGGCGACAUUUCACUACAAGUGUACGACAAAAACAACUUUUAGCAGCAAUAAACGUACUGUCACGCCCCGAGCCUACACCCUGGGUGUGGCCGGCACUCGGAGACCAUAGCUGGCCCCAAGCGAACACUUGGCCUGGCUUUCUUAACUCAGCGGAAACCUAACUCAACAGAAUAACUCAACUGAUAAAAUCUGGCCAAAAAGGCAACUCGAGUCUCAAAAUAGAAUAUUUAUAUAUAUAUAUAAAUGAGAGACUCAAUACUAACUGACUGACUGUCUAUGAAGCCUCUAUAAUACUGAGAUGGAUGUUGGGACAGACCCCGCAACAUCCUAAUAAAACAAAACUAAGAGAAACAAAAUAACCGAGUCCUCCGGAAAACAAGGAGGCUCACCACAGACUCUGGAGUGCUCAACUGGAUCAACGGCGUGCUGGAUGCUGAUCCUAGGUACCUGUGUCUACAUCAUAAAAAAAUGCAGGUCAACUGGCAUCAGUACAUGGAAUGUACGAGUAUGUGAGCUGGACCGCUAAACAACAACUUAAGCUUGAAAAGGGGUAUAAAAGAGAACUUACCUUGGCUUUAUUCAACUCAUGAAUAACUGAACUCAAUAUAAAGCAAUAAGACACAUGAAAUAUAUAUAGCUUGCAAAACUAUUUAAAACAUGACGUCAAAAUCAUAUUUAUAAUAUCAUAAAAAUACCAUGCUUCCUCUCAAAGUCUACUUGUGCAAUGCAUGAAUGAAGUCCCAUACCCCCAUCCAUACUAAGCAGAACCCCUCGAGGAACCAUGCAAUUUCUACUGUGGGAGUUUCUCUAACCGACAACCACCACUAUGACCUAAGUGGUGACACAACGUCUUGUCCACGCUGCCAGAACUGUUCUAUACUUUGUCGUUAUAUAGAACUACUUAACUUUAACUUAGUGGAUCCACUAGCUUAACUUACGUGAUCAUCUAAAAAGUAUGACCCGUUAAAUCCCAUGUUGGCCACAUGGUUCUUAUGGAGAGUUGAGUUAAUAUGAACUCGUGUCCCCAAUUCGGUGCUCAAGACUACUCCCAAAAAUAUACUUUAGCCCAUAUGUUUUAAAAACAAACUUCUUUCUCUAAUUUGAAUUACUUGCGCAAACUACCCUCUUAAAAGAGGUAAUUGCUCUUGAAAACUCUUUCUAAAAAGAACAUAUCAAAACCAUAUUUUUAUAUGAUCAUUGAUGACUCGGGAAGUCAUACUGCAUAAACAUUGAUGGUAUAUCUAGAGACCAUACUGUUUAAACAUUGAUGACAUACUCGAUUUUUCAUACUAAUCAUGUUUUAGAAACUCUUUCGCAAAACUCAUCUUUUUCUUAAAGGAGAUAGUACUCAAACUGCUCAAAACUCUUUUGGAAAUCUCAAUUUCCUCUCAUCUUAAAUGUGAAAACAUUUAUAAACUUAUUUGGGAAUACUUAGUUCCCUAAUAACUUUUGAGAAAUGAACUUGACUCUAUACUCUUUAAUUAACUUGAAACUCUAUACUCUUUACUUAACUUAAAACUGUAUACUCUUUACUUAAGUUGAAACUUGAGUUUUAAAAUGAAGUUAAAACGUUUAAUAACGACUCUUGAAAAACUUUGAAAACUUGCUUUGACUCGCUUCUUAACUUCUAGACUUGACCCUUAACUUCACUUUGACUUGAUCCUAACUCGCCUUGAAUUGGAUUAUGGAUUCAAGGUAUAUGAUAACAUGUUUAUGGAUGAAUUCUUGACGUUUAGACAUACCUUGGAGUAUUAGAAACAACUAUAAAACAUAGGUACAAUACUAAGGAACAUGCAUGAAAAAGUGGGGAAUGAAUGGGAAAGGUUGGCGUCCUUGGCACUCUGAGAGGCGCGGGGCGCUAGACCACAAAGCUCAGAAGGGCAGUUGGGACGCACUUCUAGGCGCGCCCCCCAAGGAGAGAAGUUCAAAACACUUCUUGGGGCGCUCUGCAAGGCGCGACGCGCCACCCCUUUUCCCCAAAAACUCGACUUUUUUCCUUCAUUUCUCCAACUCUAAACCUUCUCAACCUCAAAGUUUCCAGCCCCAAACACUUAAUAUCAUAAGACCCCUCAACAUACAAUAGAUUUAACCCGGAAACACAACCGGAAGCAUGUCCCAAAUCAACAAGGAACUUCAACAACACAAUCAACAACAUCAACAAUACAACCAACAACUUCAACAACACAACCAAUCUUUUCUCGGAAAUAAAACGAUUUUGGUGUGUGGGGGAAAGAACCAACCCAACACUAUGAACUCACAUACCUAGUAGGGAUCACCCCCGACGAUAUCCACGACGAUCUUUGACGAAACCUUGCUUGAUCUUGUCUUUCUUCUCCUCUUCACUCACAAACCCUCACUCUCACUCUUUUAAAAAGGGAAAACUGAUCUAAAAAUCAGUCUAACACAUUAAUAUAACCAAAAGAAUUGGUUAGGGAAAAGACCAAAAUACCCUUACAAAUUUCCGGGCGGACCUUCCCUGCCAACUGCCCAACUUCCAAAAGGCAUAACUCACUCAUACGAACUCGGAAUCAAGUAAAAUUGGCGGCGAUGAAAAGAUCAUUCCAUGAGCUUCGCAAACAUAACUGGAACUACACCUAACUCAUCAUGAGCUAGGAGUUAUGACUGUUCAAAGUUGGUCAAAACUCACCUUUUUUCUACACUUGUCCAAAUUUCCAGAUUUUUAAAUUCUUUCCAAAAAUGACUAUCUCCAAUUCUAAGCCUCUUCAUAGUUAUUUCAAAUUGCCGGAUGUUACAAAUACACAUUAACAAAGACUGCUAAAACCUUUACUUGUAUUAAUUAAUUAUCAUUGGAUUCAAUGUCUCUAUAGGCUUUAGGGACACUUACAAAAAGUGCUAAUUGCCGCUAAAAAUACAUGUUUAGUAGCGAUUAAGCUAUAGCCGUUAAUUAAUUACCCCUAAAGAUCAUUUUUGAUGUAGUGUAGAUCACUACACCUUUAUCUUGAGUCGAGGGUCCACUACUAGAAAACUGUAAAUUACCUGGGAAUUUCAUUUGGAGAUUAUUUUCGCAGAAAUUUCCUAUGAAUUUUCAUGCGGAAAUAUGAAAUUCCUAAAUUCUAGACUUCUCUACAUGCGAAAAAUAAUUUCCCUGAAAAAUUGGUAGGUAACUUUGGCGCCAUUUUUACAAAAUUAUUACCUAUGGAAUUAUUUGGGAAAAAUAAUUUGCAAGUAGCAUUUUCAUAGGUAAAUUCACAAGUAAUAAAAAAAUUUAUUUUUUUAGUAUGUUUGCAAGAAAAUUCCUAGAAAAACAUAUUUGCAGAUUUAGCUAGAAAUAAUUACUUGAAAAUUUAUUUGCAAAUAAUUUUAUACGUGUUAUUACUUGGGGAUUUUAUUGUUGUGACUUUGGUUGAAGAUUUUUAGAGGAAUGCAUACUUGAAUUUUUUUAAAUACAAUUUAAUUGGAAGUAUUUUCUUGGAAUCUAAGGAUUUUUUUAUUUGGAGUCUUCAAGAAAUAUUUUCUUUAAAAUAUAUUUAACAAAAUCUAAAACUAUAAUAAUAUAAAAAAUAACAAUGACAUUAGAAUGAAUUUUAUUGUUAAAUAUAUACUCUACUUUUAGAUUACAUAAAUUAUUAUACAAUAAUAUCAAUCUAACACUAUAUUGGAACAUUACCACAAAUGUCAUGAACAAUAUUUUUAACUUAUAUAUAGUUACAAUAUUUAGUCCUAAAAACCAAUGAUGCGAUAUUUUUUUUUUGAAAGAUACAAAAGCAUUAAAAAUUAUAUGGCUAGUUAUUUAUCCUUAGAAAAAUAACUAUCAUAAAUAUAUUUAUUUUUGAUUAGAUAUUACUUUAUAUUAAAUUUCGUAUUAUUGAAUAAGUCAAUCACUGUUUAAGUAGAGUAAAAUUAAAUUAUAUACAUUAUUAAUGUGAAUUUUAAUCAACCCCUAGUUUAUAGAAUUAUAUUAAAUGAAAAAUAAAUAAAAUUUUAACUAUAUAUCAAAUUUAUAUUUUUUUUUUCUUACAAGCAUUAAAUAUGAUAUAAUUUCUCUAUAGUAAGUUAUUAAAUGUUAUUUAUUUGCAAAUAUUUAUUAUUAAGUAUGUUAAAAUAUAAUUAUUAAAAGAUAAAUUAAAAUUAUAAAACCACAAAUACCUAAUAAGAUGUACUAUCAAUUAUUGGUUAUAACUUUCUUGCACUUUAAUUUAAAUUAUAGAUUUAUUUAUAUUUUCAAUUAUUUUUUUAUAAGAACUUUUUAUGUAUAAUAUAAAUUUUGUCUACGUUUAAUAUGCUUAGCUAUGGAUAUUAUCUCAUAGAAAGUGUAAGCAUAAAAUUUUCAUGAUAUGUUGGGUGGUGGUGAUUUAAUUUAAAUAUAUAGUUUCACUUUUUAAGAGUUAAAUCAAAUGAACUUUAGCCAACAUUUAAGAUAUAUUUUUUACCUUAUUGAUAUGACAUGAAAAGAUUAGCAUUUAUAAUGCUACGACUAAUUAAACACAAGUAAAAUAAAAUUUCAUGUUGGUAAGUUUUAAUGAAAAAAAUCAAUUAAAUAGAUUGAAGACUUUGUAAGUGAAACACUCAUAGUUGAGUGACUUUGUAAGUGAAACACUCAUAGUUAAGUGACUUUUGAGUUAAAAAUCAAAGUUGAGUGACUUUCUGAGAAAAAAACUCAUAGUUGAGUGACUUUGAAGUUAAAAACCAAAGUUGAGUGUCUUUCUAAGAAAAUAGUACAUAGUUGAAUGACCUUAUGAGAUAUUAAAAAUUUAGACACAUAUCAAACAAAAUUUUGAAUUAAAAGCAAAUAAAAGAAUAAAAAUAAAAAUUCCACACGGUAUUAUUGUUCAUUUUUUCCUCACUUGACUUAGUCAAGAAAUAGUUUCUCUUAGAAGUUCUGCAUAAUUUUUUUCUACAUAAUGGGACCAAUUUCACAUCAUCUUAUGUAACACACUGCAGAGAUUGCUAAUAACCUCCAAAUGAACACAACAUCUAGAGAAAAUGAGGGCAUAUGGAGUAUUAUUUUGUUAAGUCUCCUCCGUCCUCUAACAAGUCUUGUAGAACACUACAAAAUAUGAGUAACAAGUUGUUAGAAGUGAGUAGUACUCUUCUUGUGAUUCAAUUGUUCAACAAUCUCGAUUUAUCAUAAUCUUUUUCCCCUUCUAGUCUGUUGUGAUCAUGGAUAGCCGAGAAGUUAGACAACUUGUUGGGCCCGAGGCUAAACCACGAAGUGGAUAAGACAGCCCAACAAUAGGUUUGCUUGGAAUCCAGGUUGAGUACAAAUAAAAGGGUAAUCACUGUGGUUUUGGGAGUUUAUGCAGAUUGUGAAAGAAAUUGUUUGUUCCUCCCAUCUCUUUCUAGAGUCUAAGCUUUUCAUCCACAUUUUUAUCUCUAUCUUUAGUUACUUGUUAUUUAAGUAUUUUCCUUUGUAAUUCUAUAGUUGAAGUGUUGCCGUCGUGAUUUGUCUAUCAGUGAUUACAUAUUACUUGAGUAUUUGAGUUGCGAAUUUAGAUUCGUUACAUAGUCUUUGAGGAAAUUGGCUUAAAGGUUUACAAGUCAUCGUCCGCUAGUUACAUUACUACAUCCUUUAUUUCCUUAGGUGGAAUGGAAUAUUGAUGGAUUUUCCCUUGUUAACUAAAUGUGAAAACUAUUGUGUACCUAACAAGUUUGAAAAUAGCAGAAGAGACAACUAAUCACUAACUCAGAAUAUUGACCUUUUAUGAUGGUAUAGAUUCCAUGGAGCUUGGUUUCCUCUAUUCCAAACGUACCAUAACUGUUGUCAUAAUUGGUGUCCCUUCUUGUCACAUGGAAGAUGAAAUGGAGUAACAUCAUGUCUUUAUUGCUCAUUUAUUUUUAUUUUUCUCAAUUGACUUGGUUAUACAAUAGUUUCUCUCUUUGAAAAGUAUUGUGGAAAACAGAAGAAGAGAUGUUGAUGGAAAGCUAGACAAGAAUGACUUAAAAUAGGAGUUCAAAUUUCUACCUAUCCAUCUAUACUAAUGUUAAAUUGCUAUAAUAUUUUCAACUUAAAACACUUAAUUUAGUAUAUUUUUUAUAAUUUAUAAUAUGUUAUAUUAUAUUUAUUUAUUUAAUUUAAAAUAUAGUGUACUACAUGAUUUAGCAUUCAUGUGCAAUGCACGUGCAACAAACCUAGUACUAUCUUAAAAACUAUGUUACUUAGAUUAUUUAAAAAUGUCAACAGGUACGUGUUAGAUUCUUCAAAAGUUAUGUAUUUUUUAAGAAAUCAACAUUGGUGCAACAUCAUCAUCUUUUUGGAGAGCCUGAGCAACAUAGUUCAUUUAUACAAGAAAAUUGGAAAAAGAAGUGCAAUAAGCAUAUAGAAGAAGCAUGAAAUAGAAAGAGUAGCAUUGCUUAAUCAGCUAGUACUGUAGCUUAUCGUAAUCACUAGUAAUUGAUGAAUCACACUUGAAGCAUAUCAUGAAUUUGGGUUAAAGACUUAGAAGUCAUUGUCUGCUAGUUAAUACGAGACGGUCCUAUAUAUGAAGAAUAAUGGAGUUUCCCUCAUUUUUGCUCUCCCAAGUAGGCACUUUAACAAUUCAAAAUUUAAACAAAUAAAAACUCGAUUUUACCUUUGACACACGUGAAUUGCACGCAUUUUACCAAGUAGGAUUUGAGUGUUUAUUUAUCAAGUAGGAUUCGAUCUUGGCUCACUUUGGCAACUCAAUUUAUCUCACAACGAUCCCAGAGAAGAUAUCCCAACGGAACUGGGACAAAUGAAUACGCUUUUAAGUUCUAGAUUUCUCAUGGAAUUGGCUCACUUGAAAGACUCCAAGGGAACUGACAAGACUAAAAAAUUUGCCAGAUUUUGUUGGUAUAAUAUACCACAAAUAUAAAACAUUAUAUUUUAAAAUAAAAUGACAAAAGUGAAUAAAUUAAUCAGUGAAUUUACGUGGGAAUCAGUGGCCAUAGGCUACAUUUCACUACAAGUCUACGACAAAAACAACUUUUAGCAGCAAUAAAUAUACACAUUAACAAAGAGUGCUAAAAUUUUACUGGUAUUAAUUAAUUGUCAUUGGAUUCAAUGUCUCUAUAGGCUUUAGGGACACUUACAAAAAGUGUUAAUUGCCGCUAAAAAUACAUAUUUAGUAGCGAUUAAGCUAUAGCCAUUAAUUAAUUACCCCUAAAGAUCAUUUUUGAUGUAGUGUAGAUCACUACACCUUUAUCUUGAGUCGAGGGUCCACUACUAGAAAACUGUAAAUUACCUGGAAAUUUCAUUUGGGAAUUAUUUUCGCAGAAAUUUCCUAUGAAUUUUCAUGCGGAAAUAUGAAAUUCCUAAAUUCUAGACUUCUCUACAUGCGAAAAAUAAUUUCCCAGAAAAAUUGGAAGAUAACUUUAGCGCCAUUUUUACAAAAUUAUUACCUGGGGAAUUAUUUGGGAAAAAUAAUUUGCAAGUAGCAUUUUCAUAGGUAAAUUCGCAANNNNNNNNNNNNNNNNNNNNNNNNNNNNNNNNNNNNNNNNNNNNNNNNNNNNNNNNNNNNNNNNNNNNNNNNNNNNNNNNNNNNNNNNNNNNNNNNNNNNNNNNNNNNNNNNNNNNNNNNNNNNNNNNNNNNNNNNNNNNNNNNNNNNNNNNNNNNNNNNNNNNNNNNNNNNNNNNNNNNNNNNNNNNNNNNNNNNNNNNNNNNNNNNNNNNNNNNNNNNNNNNNNNNNNNNNNNNNNNNNNNNNNNNNNNNNNNNNNNNNNNNNNNNNNNNNNNNNNNNNNNNNNNNNNNNNNNNNNNNNNNNNNNNNNNNNNNNNNNNNNNNNNNNNNNNNNNNNNNNNNNNNNNNNNNNNNNNNNNNNNNNNNNNNNNNNNNNNNNNNNNNNNNNNNNNNNNNNNNNNNNNNNNNNNNNNNNNNNNNNNNNNNNNNNNNNNNNNNNNNNNNNNNNNNNNNNNNNNNNNNNNNNNNNNNNNNNNNNNNNNNNNNNNNNNNNNNNNNNNNNNNNNNNNNNNNNNNNNNNNNNNNNNNNNNNNNNNNNNNNNNNNNNNNNNNNNNNNNNNNNNNNNNNNNNNNNNNNNNNNNNNNNNNNNNNNNNNNNNNNNNNNNNNNNNNNNNNNNNNNNNNNNNNNNNNNNNNNNNNNNNNNNNNNNNNNNNNNNNNNNNNNNNNNNNNNNNNNNNNNNNNNNNNNNNNNNNNNNNNNNNNNNNNNNNNNNNNNNNNNNNNNNNNNNNNNNNNNNNNNNNNNNNNNNNNNNNNNNNNNNNNNNNNNNNNNNNNNNNNNNNNNNNNNNNNNNNNNNNNNNNNNNNNNNNNNNNNNNNNNNNNNNNNNNNNNNNNNUUUUCCUCACUUGACUUAGUCAAGAAAUAGUUUCUCUCAUUGGAAAUUUCUUAGAAGUUCUGCAAAAAAAAUUUCCACAUAAUGGGGCCAACUUCACAUCAUCCUGCCUAACACACACUGAAGCGAUAGAUAAUGACCUCGAAAUAAACUCAACAUCUAGAGAAAAUUAGGACAUAGAGUCUUAUUUUGUUAAGUUUUCUCCGUCCUCUAGAAAGUCUUGUGAAACACUACAAAAUAUGAGUAACAAGUUGUUAGAAGUGAGUAGUACUCAUCCAUGGACCACAAGUUGCGUAGUUAGUGAUGCGAAAGUGGUACUAUCUACCAACACUGACUUAAAGACUUGAGUUAACACUUGGGACAACUCUUUUUGCAACCACAAAUUAGUUAGUACCCCAUUUUAUACCUCAUAGUCUCAUGCAUAGAUAAGUCAACCACGUUACUUUAUCAAAUAGUGUUUAGUUAAUUGCUCGUUGUAAUAAUUAAGNNNNNNNNNNNNNNNNNNNNNNNNNNNNNNNNNNNNNNNNNNNNNNNNNNNNNNNNNNNNNNNNNNNNNNNNNNNNNNNNNNNNNNNNNNNNNNNNNNNNNNNNNNNNNNNNNNNNNNNNNNNNNNNNNNNNNNNNNNNNNNNNNNNNNNNNNNNNNNNNNNNNNNNNNNNNNNNNNNNNNNNNNNNNNNNNNNNNNNNNNNNGUUCGAGGUUCUUAUUAAUAUUCUAGGAAGGUUUUAAACGCAUCUAGAAUAUCCACUAAUGUGGUUAUCCGACGAUUAAUUUUUUUGGCUAAAAUAAUUUAACUUAGCUUGAAUUGCAAAAUUGAACUAUUAUAUAGUUGGGACCAUUUUAAGAGAAAAAUAUCAAAAUACUAAAAAAUAAAUUUAUCCAAGUGAAAUAUUUUGUAAACUUAUUUAUUUUAUUUAUUUAUUUAUUUUUAGGUCAAGUAGGAGAUGAAUAGUUUAGUUUAAAUAAUUAACUCAAAAUGGGUGUCUUUUGGGGGGUUUGAAUGUUUGAAACCUUAAAAUCAAUAUCAAUUAUUAACAAAUAAAUAAACACAAUAAAAUAAAGAGAGAGAAUUAGGCCCAAGUCUGGAUUUCCUGUCCGUCUGGGCCAGUACUUGGGCCUAAUUUCAGUUUUGGGCCCUUGGCCCAUUUAAGUCAUUUGUACCUGUCCUAUUCUAACAUAAUAGAACUAUUUUCCAUUUGGGGGCCUUAGGCCCAAUUCUUCCACCUGUUCAAACUAGCACAAUAAUUGCAAAUAAAAUGACAAGGGCUUAGGCCCAAAAAAUAACAAAAUACAACUUCUUAAAGAAGAGUGGGCCUCUUUAAGGCCAUUUUCUCAUUUUUCGUAUACACUAGGUGUAUACUAGUGUAUACAAUCUCGUAUCAGCUCCAAACCCUGUUCAUCAAAUUUUUGGGACCCCUCCUUCAAUUGCUAUGGUUGGUUGACUCGAUAAAGGAUUUUUGGGGCACUCGUGGCCCCCUUUGGAAUGCAAAGGUUGAGUCCAUGAGGACUUGGGCAUAUUUCACAUGAAAAGACACAUAAAUAAGAAUUAGCACCUUAUUAUAGGUUGAUGAAAGUAAUUAUGAAUUGAUUAAUAUUAGACUCAAACUUAAACAAGUUCCAAUAGAGUAGUAAAUCCACGGUGAUUAUGCAAACGAAGCCUUAUCACAUUACUCAACUAACAUGAAAGACAUGGUAACCUCUCAAUUAAUAUAAACUCAAGUUUCCUUUCAAAAAGUAUGAAAAUAAAAAAAAAGUAAAGCAUUAGAAGGAGACAGUAGCUAUGAUGUCAAAUAAUUAAGUGGCUAAAAUUCUAAAGAAAAAUUAUUCUGAUUAUGAAUCUACACCCAGAUGUAGCAUCUAUGAUAAACACACUUGUCACAUAAUUAAAUAUAGUCCACACAUUUCAAAAAUAAUAAUAAAUAAAUAAAUUAGGAGAAUACUUCAACUUUGCAUAUAUCUAAAAAAAAAACAAAGGAAGAGAAAAUCAAUAAGGAUUAAAUCGACUAAUACAUAGACUCUUUUUUUUAAAAAAUAAAAUAAAAUAAAAUAAAGAAAUAAGAUAAAAAUAAAUAAAUAAAUAAACAAGAGCUAAUUGAUUACAUACAAACGAAACGAAACGGUUAACAUGCUAGACUCAGUUUAAGCUUGACUAAAAAAUUUCUGAAUAGACGAUUUACCACAGAUUUAGUGCAUAUUGCAAAACCAAUGAGGUAGGACACUUUAUCCAUGGACAAACCAACAAAUAUUGCUUAUGAAAUAUAGCAAGAGAUCACAUGAUUUGCAGCCAUGAAUAGGAGGGAGCUUGGGGAUUUGCAACUUUAUUAAAAAGGGGGAAAGGAGGGAAGAAUAUACGUCAUUUAACAGACAAGAUUAGACAUUCAAAACAUAAUUAUUAAGACUACUUCAUUAUUUUGUUUCCCACCCGGUGUCCGGAGCCCACUUUGGAGUUCCGACUAAAUUCGGAUCGCGCUUUGCAGGGCCCAUUCGGGGGUGGCGCUCCCAACAAAAUUUUCUCCAUACCCAGGGCUCGAACCCGAGAUCUCUGGUUAAGGGUGAAGCACUCCCACCAGUGCACCACUACCCAUGUUGGUACCGUAUCCCUUAUUUCCUUAGGUGGAAUGGAAUAUUGAUGGAUUUUCCCUCAUUAGCUUAAUGUGAUCGAAAACUAUUGUGUACCUAACAAGUUUGAAAAUAGCAGAAGAGACAACUAAUCACUAACUCAGAAUAUUGAUCUUUUAUAAUUCUAUAAUUCCGUGGAAAAAUUGCAUCAAAAUUUAAUGUAAUUGUACAACUUGGUUUCCUCUAUUCUGAAUGUACACUAAUUGUUCUCAUAAUUGGUUCAAUGACGUGUCUUAACCUUUUAUGAUUAUAUAAAUUCUGUGGAAAAAUUGCACUAAAAUCCUCAAUUGACUUGGUCAUAUAAUAGUUUCCCUCUUUGAAAAAGUAUUGUGAAAAACAGAAGAAGAGAUGUUGAUGGAAAGUUGGACAAAAUCAUCAUAUAUCUAUCAUUUUGGCCUUAUACUAAAUUAUAUAUUAUUAUAUUUAUAUAUUAUUAAAAGUGGAAAGCUCUUGUCUUCAAAGUUGAUUUACCAUUUUGCUCUUAUAUUAAAUUAAUUUUUUUAUAAAAUAAUUUUUCUUUACACCAUAAUUAAAAAAAAUCAAUUAAAUUAGUUUUCAAUANNNNNNNNNNNNNNNNNNNNNNNNNNNNNNNNNNNNNNNNNNNNNNNNNNNNNNNNNNNNNNNNNNNNNNNNNNNNNNNNNNNNNNNNNNNNNNNNNNNNNNNNNNNNNNNNNNNNNNNNNNNNNNNNNNNNNNNNNNNNNNNNNNNNNNNNNNNNNNNNNNNNNNNNNNNNNNNNNNNNNNNNNNNNNNNNNNNNNNNNNNNNNNNNNNNNNNNNNNNNNNNNNNNNNNNNNNNNNNNNNNNNNNNNNNNNNNNNNNNNNNNNNNNNNNNNNNNNNNNNNNNNNNNNNNNNNNNNNNNNNNNNNNNNNNNNNNNNNNNNNNNNNNNNNNNNNNNNNNNNNNNNNNNNNNNNNNNNNNNNNNNNNNNNNNNNNNNNNNNNNNNNNNNNNNNNNNNUCUUUGCAUUUAAUAAUUAUAAUAACCAUAACUUUAUAUGAAACGUUGGUGGUUCAAUUAUUUAAUUGUUACGUUAACCAAUGGCCAACUUCUCAUUGCUACAGUAAGUACAAAGAAGUUGAAAAGUUGAAUUGAAUAUUAAUUAGUAAAUUAAUUCAUUAGUAAAUAAAUGAAAGGAAAUUUCAAAGGUCUAGGAAAAAAUAUUAUAUAAAGGCUAAACGAGUUCACUAAUUUCCCAUCUGCUCUUUGUAACUUUUGAGAUUGAAUGCAAAUCAUUUUAACUUCGAUUUCAUUUUUUCCCUUUUCUUUUUAUAUCCUUUGAUAGUUUGCAUAUAUAAAAGAAGAGAUGGGAGUAUGUAAGAUUGUUUUUUAUGCCUUCUAAUAGUUUGCAUAAAAGAAGAGAUGAGAAGUAUGUAAGAUUAUUGAUGCCAAAUUAGAGUAGCUGUCAUAUUCAAUUUUUACUACUCUUGAAUUAUCAGCUAUAAUAUAAUCUUCCGAGAAAUUAUGAUCAAAAUCACCAUCUCUCCUCCCUUUCAACUAUCAGUAUUACACCGUUUAUACUAGUUUUGUAAAAAAUUUAAAACAUACUAUUUUGGUGAAUUGAUUUAAACAAUGGCUUAUUUUGGUCAAAAUUUUGAUUUCUCCGGAAGGUUGAUCAUAGUUGACAUAAAUGAAUUCAUUGUUAUAGUAUAAUCUGAUUACAAUUCUUUAAGAUACAAAGAUAUUAUACUCUCUACAAAUAAGUUAUUUCAUGAUAUAAAGAAAUGGUGUUAUUUGAAUGCGUUGAUUGAUGCUCCUCUUCACGUUGAUUACUGGCUAUAACCUUUUAUCAUCAUUGCAAUAUUCAACUUUAACUUGAAUUAUUACUUGAAAAGAACUCAUUAAUCUUUUUUGUGUAUGCAUGGCAUAUUUGGUUAAUUAGAAUUACAAUACUUUGAUUUCACAUGUAUUGGAAUUUCAUUUGUUUCCAUGCACAAUUGUUAAGCUUAUAACAAUUAGCUUUAAAUUUUUAAUUAGCAUAUAUUAUUUGCGUUUUGUAAAUUUUAACGAGAAUUGUUUUAAAUAUCAUAUCUAAGUUUUUUGUUUAAAUAUUUCAGAUUCAUUGUUUUGCUAUUUGGUGUGAGCAUCACAAUUCAUUAUUCAAUUAUUAUGUCAUGAAAUUUAUUACUUAAUGUUAUUAGGUGCAAAUAUUUUGCUUAUAAAGAAGUAUUAGUAUUAAAUAUUUGCACCUAAUAACAUUAAGUAAUAAAUUUCAUGACAUAAUAAUUGAAUAAUGAAUUGUGAUGCUCACACCAAAUAGCAAAACAAUGAAUCUGAAAUAUUUAAACAAAAAACUUAGAUAUGAUAUUUAAAAAAUCAUUUAGUGCUCAACGAAGAAGUCAUUCAAAUUGGAUGAGUGUUACAUUCAUCAAUUUUAGUUUGUACUUUUUUUUGUUAUUGAUUACACUAUGGUUUUAAUAUAACUUAUAUCGUGUAUACUACUUGCUUGAGACACACGUGCAACGUACGUGUUCAGAAACUAGUAUAUCUAUAAAAGCAAACGACAGAAAACUGUGAUCCUUCAAUACAAUAAGUUGAUUACUCAGUUUUCUUUGCUUAUGCAUCAUUUUUUAAUUUGAUCACUACACCUUUAUCCUGAGUUGAGGGUCUACGAAAACAGCCUCUCACUACACCUCUUCAUAUUUGAACGGUAUCAUAUAGAUGAAAUUUCCCUCAUUAACUUAAUGUGAAAAGUCUUUUGAAAAACAACUAAUCGGAAAUUAUUUCUCAUAAAAUUUCUCUACAGGUGUAGUGAUCUUCACCAAGUUAUUCAAAACAUAUAGGAAAUUAAGACGAGUUAAUACAUCAGAUGGUCACUCAACUAUGCACUAUUUUCUCAGAAAGUCACUCAACUUUGGUUUUAAACUUAAAAGUCACUCAACUAUGAGUUUUUUUCUCAGAAAGUCACUCAAAAAUACAUGUUUAGUAGCGAUUAAGCUAUAGCCGUUAAUUAAUUACCUCUAAAGAUCAUUUUUGAUGUAGUGUAGAUCACUACAUCUUUAUCUUGAGUCGAGGGUGCACUACUAGAAAACUGUAAAUUACCUGGGAAUUUCAUUUGGGGAUUAUUUUUGCAGAAAUUUUCUAUGAAUUUUCAUGCGGAAAUAUGAAAUUCCUAAAUCUAGACUUCUCUACAUGCGAAAAAUAAUUUCCCAGAAAAAUUGGUAGGUAACUUUUGCGCCAUUUUUACAAAAUUAUUACCUGGAGAAUUAUUUGGGAAAAAUAAUUUCCAAGUAGCAUUUUCAUAGGUAAAUUUGCAAGUAUUAAAAAAUUAAUUUUUUAGUAUGUUUGCAAGAAAAUUCCUAGAAAAACCUAUUUGCAGAUUUAGCUAAAAAUAAUUACUUGAAAAUUUAUUUGCAAAUAAUUUUAUACGUGUUAUUACCUGGGGAUUGAUGUUCUACAAAUUUUGUUGGGAAUUUAUUUCUUGAGGAUUUACUUGGGAAUUUUUCUUACUUGGAGAAUUACUUGGGGAUUUUAUUGUUGCGAAUUUGGUUGAAGAUUUGUAUAGGAAUGCAUACUUGAAUUUUUUUAAAUACAAUUUAAUUGGAAGUAUUUUCUUGGAAUCUAAGGAUUUUUUUAUUUGGAGUCUUCAAGAAAUAUUUCUUUAAAAUAUAUUUAACAAAAUCUAAAACUAUAAUAAUAUAAAAAUAACAAUGACAUUAGAAAGAAUUUUAUUGUUAAAUAUAUACUCUACUUUUAGAUUAAAUAAAUUAUUAUACAAUAAUAUUAAUCUAACACUAUAUUGGAACAUUACCACAAAUGUCAUGAACAAUAUUUUUAACUUAUAUAUAGUUACAAUAUUUAGUCCUAAAAACCAAUGAUGCGAUUUUAUUUUUUUGAAAGAUACAAAGCAUUAAAAUUAUAUGGCUAGUUAUUUAUCCUUAGAAAAAUAACUAUCAUAAAUAUAUUUAUUUUUUAUUAGAUAUUACUUUAUAUUAAAUUUCGUAUUUUUGAAUAAGUCAAUCACUGUUUAAGUAGAGUAAAAUUAAAUUAUAUACAUUAUUAAUGUGAAUUUUAAUCAACCCCUAGUUGAUAGAAUUAUAUUAAAUGAAAAAUACAUAAUUUUUAACUAUAUAUCAAAUUUAUAUAUAAUUUUUUCUUACAAGCAUUAAAUAUGAUAUAAUUUCUCUAUAGUAAGUUGUUAAAUGUUAUUUAUUUGCAAAUAUUUAUUAUUAAGUAUGUUAAAAUAUAAUUAUUAAAAAAGGUAAAUUAAAAUUAUAAAACCACAAAUACCUAAUAAGAUGUACUAUCAAUUAUUGGUUAUAACUUUCUUGCACUUUAAUUUAACUUAUAGAUUUAUUUAUAUUUUCAAUUAUUUAUUUAUACGAACUUUGUAUGUAUAAUAUAAAUUUUGUCUACAUUUAAUAUGCUUAGCUAUGGAUAUUAUCUCAUAGAAAGUGUAAGCAUAAAAUUUUCAUGAUAUGUUGGGUGGUGGUGAUUUAUUUUAAAUAUAUAGUUUCACUUUUUAAGAGUUAAAUCAAAUAAACUUUAGCCAAGAAAUAGUGUUUAGUUAACUUUUUGUUUUAUUUAAUAUGGAGGUCGUUGUAAUAAUUAAGAAAUAAAAUAGUGUUUAGAUAAUUAUAGCAUUCUUUCUUACAUGACUACUUAUUUUAUUGACUUAUUUAUAUAUUGACGAUCAUCAUGAACCCAUAUUAUUAUUUUUACCUUUUUAUUCCUAUUACUAUUUUUAUUUAUUCAUUAUUGAAAUAUUCUAAAGCCUACCAAACGGUAAAACCUUUUGCAUUAUGCAAAAUAAAUUGUUGGGUGUUAAAAAAAGAUCAAAUUGUUUUUGGUGUAUUCUUUGAAUUACAAGCACUGCAACAAACAACUACAACAAAAAACAACUUUUAGCGGCAAUAAAUAUACACAUUAUUAAAGAGUGUUAAAGAUUUUGCCGGUAUUUUAAUAUUAUUAUAUCAACUUCUGAAAUUCAGCACAAUUAUUUCAAUAUCAUUGUAUAAUCUUAUUAAUGUUUUGAGUAAGAUUUGAUUAUUCUAACUUUAUAUUAUAUUUUUUCAUUGAAAAAUUUUGUUGUUUGUAUUCUUACUUUAAAGGUCUGCGUACAUCCUACCUUCUUGAAACUUUACUCGUAGGAUUACAUUAAUAAGUAUGUUAUAGGUAUUCAAUUUACAUAGGACACUUAGAAAGUAGUAUAUAUCUGUGUGGAUAAGACUGAUUGAUUUGUAAGAAGAACACAUCCAUCCUGUUAUUUGGUGAAAUCAAACAAACAAAAAAUGGCCGUGAGUCUGUUUUUCUUUUAUUCAUUUCUCUGUUUUGUGUUUUUAAUAAGUGAAUGCUUUUCUUCAUCCUUUGAUCAUCAUCUUUGCUCUCCCACUGAAGCUUCCUCUUUGCUUCAGUUCAAACAAUCCUUUCAAAUUAUGUCCAAAGAGUACUUUAGUUAUUGGUCUGAUGGAGAUUCUUUCCCGAAAACAAAGUCUUGGAAUGAGAGUAGGGAUUGCUGCAGUUGGGAUGGAGUCACUUGUGACUUAUUAAACGGUCAUGUUAUCGGGUUAGACCUUAGUAGUAGUCUGCUUUGUGGAAGUAUUCAUCCCAAUAGCAGCCUCUUCCAACUUCAUCAUCUCCAAACACUAAACCUUUAUAACAACCUCUUCAAUUAUUCUUCAAUCCCACAUAGCAUUGGCCAAUUGACGAAUUUGAGGCAUCUCAACCUUUCUCAUUCUCACUUUGGUGGGAAAAUCCCAACAGAAAACUCAUACCUUUCUAAUUUGGUUUUACUUGAUCUUUCUGUGUAUGGAUUACAACUUGAUGAGAGAACAUUUGAAACAAUGCUUCACAACUUCACAAAUCUGGAGGUACUAGCUCUCUCUCUUGGCGACAUCUCAUCACUGAUACCUGUAAGUAUUCAUCCCAAUAGCAGCCUCUUCCAGCUUCAUCAUCUCCACACACUUAACCUUGAUAACAAUUACUUUUAUCCUUCUUCGAUCCCAAAUGGCAUUGGCCGAUUGAGGAAUUUGAGGCAUCUAAAACUCUCUGGCUUUGAUGGGAAAAUCCCAACAGAAAUCUCAUACCUUUCCAAUUUGGUUUCACUUGAUCUUUCUUAUAGUUAUAAAUUCUUACAACUUGAUGAGAUAACAUUUGAAGCAAUGCUUCACAACUUCACAAAUCUGGAGAUACUUUCUCUCUGGUAUGUCAACAUCUCAUCUCCGAUACCUGUGAAUAUUUCUUCUUCCUUAAGAUAUGUGGAUCUUGCACAUACUAAUCUGCGAGGUGUUCUCACAGAGAGCUUUUUCCUUGUGCCAAACUUGGAAAGCCUCAAAUUGAGUGGGAAUGAUCUUCUCAAAGGAGUUUUUCCAAAGAUCCACCGGAGCAACACUCUGUUAAUGGAGUUGGAUAUUUCAUCCACAGGCAUCUCCGGUGAGCUGCCUGAUUCAAUUGGCACCUUUAGUUCAUUGAAUAUCUUGAACCUCGGAGGAUGUCAAUUCUCUGGUUCCAUUCCCGAUUCCAUAGGCAACCUAACCCAAAUUACGGAGUUGGCUUUGUCUUAUAAUCAUUUGGGAUAAUACAUAUAUUUGACCUUAAACUUGGCUUCAAAUUUUAACUUUGACCUCCAACUUUCAUAGUGCACAAACAAGCACUUUAACUAUCCAAUCUUUUAAUAAAUAAACACGUGAUUUUUGGAGCCAAGAGCGUGAAAUGCAAACGCUGCCACGUGUAUUAGAAAUUCCUGAUGUUUUCUCUAACCUCAAAGAGCUACGUACUUUACAUCUUUCUAAUAACAGCUUCAUCGGUUCGUUUCCCUCUUCAAUUUUAAGUUUGACACAUCUUGAAUACUUAGGAUUGACGAAUAAUUCCCUAUCUGGCCCACUGCCUAGCAACCAAAGCAUGCUUCAAAAGCUAACCGAACUGAAUUUGUCAUACAACUCACUGAAUGGUACCAUACCUUCUUGGGUGUUUAGCCUACCUUUGCUAUCUUCAGUAUCGCUCCAACAUAACCGAUUCAGAGGACUAGCCGAUGAAGUGAUCAAAACAAACCCAACAUUAAAAGAACUGCAUUUAAGCAAUAAUCACCUCAGUGGUUCUUUUCCUCAAUCACUUGUGAAUCUCACAAACCUUGAAACCCUUGGAAUUUCAUCAAAUAACAUCACCAUUGAUGAGGGUAUGAAUAUCACCUUUCUUAGCCUAUCAUCUUUAUUCUUAUCAUCUUGUCAACUGAAGGAUUUUCCACACUUCUUGAGAAAUGUAAAGACACUUCAGGUCUUGGAUAUUUCUAACAAUAAGAUUUGUGGUCAAAUCCCUAACUGGUUUAGCGGCAUGACGUGGGACUCAUUGCAGUUCCUAAACCUUUCUCAUAAUUCAUUAACAGGCCAC